UGCCUUUUACACCGCACAAGUGAAAGAAAAUGGUAUGCAGGCACCAGCACCCACAACUACAUGUGUGCUCAUGUGCCCAGCUCUACAAAUGAGGACAUGUCUGUUUUUAACCACCAUUGUCAAAAUCUCCAGUUGAGUACAGAUGACAAACAUUAGGUGUUCAUUAUAUCACAUGCCUGUGAUAUUGAGCAGAUAGAAACUUGAAAUUAAUGCCCAAGACAGCCAGGCUGUUUAGCUUAAUUAAAUUUUUUUAAAAAGAAUAUAUCCUCUCCAGGGGUUUAUCAAUACUGAACUGGAGGCACUUGUUUAGAAAUUAAGAUUAGAUCAUUAGAAAAUCAAAAGAAAAUAUAAAAUACCAUAACAUAGUCAUAUAAGGUUAUAUUUUUCACCCUUAAAACAAAAAAUGAUAAUUUAAAGUAGUAAGUAGACAAAUAAAUUAAAAGGCAAACUUAAAUAUCAUCAUCAUUAUUCAUUAAUCUUCAAAAACAUCUUCAUCCAUGCUUUCCUCAACUUCACUUGAAUCCUCGUCCUCCAUCCAUUUCAUGAUUAUAAUCCGAAUCCUCAACUCUCAAAACUGCACUUGUUUAGAAAUAGAACUUGAUCUCUCUUUAUGUGUAGUUCUAGCACUGGAUGUUGAAAAAAGAGUGUGGCUGGUGUUUCUCUUCUAAGGUGUCUUUCCUUGUUUGUUUGUCUCCCACUUUAAUGAUUUUUUUUUAUUCCUUUUUACCCUAAUCUUUCCUUUUUACAAAAAUGCACCAAAGUCGUUUCUUGUAGUCAAUUAAAAAUUGGACAGAUAGGUCAAAACAUAAGACACGACAUAAAAAGUACUUCAAGCAGGUGCUAGCUUGAACGCCUUGCACCCACUCACAAGGUGCUCGUCCAGGCAGCGCUACACUGAAAUUCAUCACCUGAGGCUAAUAAAGGCGUUGUGGCCUUGCCUCGCCUGGAGUGCCUAGGCAAGCGCCUUAGCAUCCCUUGACAACAUUGGUACUAUAUACAACAAACUUCUUGAUUCCCACUUUUAAUGUACAAAAGCAAGAGAAUGGUAUUGUAUGUAAAACUACUGCAUGUAAAAUUACAUACCAAGUUGGUUGAUAAUCCCUGGAAGAAUAUCUUGUAGUUCUGCAGACACAACAAAUUCAAUUUGUAUUAGUCCUUCUCCAUCUCACUAUCGCACUCACCCACACAGGUAUAUAAAACUUUAGCAAAUUAAACAUUGACAAAAGACAGUAGGAAAAUCAUGUCAAGGUUAGACACCUACAUCAAAUUGACAGUAUCAGAAGAAACAACAACAUUUCAUUUCACUAAAACUAGUAUCAAAUUCUAAACAGAACACCAGUUCAAAUCAGCUAGUAAAACUGCUAUUGAACCAAAGCAGUGCAUGAAUUAUUAGAAAAAAAGCUGCCAACCAAGUUGAAAUAAUCAACAAACAAACACCUCCAGGUUAAAAACUUACUUCUGGUUUGAGGAGUGCCUGUAAUAACCCAUGUGUUGGCAACAACAGAGGCUUGGACUUUCGGGUUAACAAACUGAAUAACCAAAUCAUCCUUAAAGAUGUUCACUUCUUCAAUAGCUGGAAUUGUAUUAACCCCAAUUCUCUUCAAGGUGCUUUGCAACUUCUUGUCAUCAGUUGUUGAUGACUUGUGCACUGCCUUCUUCUUUCUACACGAAAGAGCCAAAAAAAAAAAUCAUCAACCAAAAACACCCAGAUUCUAAAAAAUCCAAAAAGAUAACACCUUCACGCACCAAUUCUAACAAACAAGCAAAAGAAGAGAAACCCGUGAUUUUUUUUGACAAAUGAAAGAGCCCAAGAUUUCCAAAACAAAAAUAAUAAAGCCAUUCAGCAAAUAAGAAUCCAAUACUACCACAAAUGAGCCAAACCCCCUAAACUUCAGAGCUUCAAAAACACAAAAAAGAUGGAAUCUUUACGAGUUCUACAGUAAUAUAGUACCUUCUCAUGGUUCCCUUGCCACCAGUUCGAACAGAACCAGCCAUCUUCAUGAGCUUCUCUCUAUUCAUCUGUAUAUACUUCGCAACAAAGUUAGUGUCUUUGACAAAACCCUACAAGCAUUUGCUAUUAAACCCUAGUUUCUCAUCAAAAGAAAUGAAACAAAGAAGUGAACUUGUUAUGAAAUUAGAAGUUAAGUAACAGUAGCAAGUACCUUGUGAUAUUAAAUUUUCUUGAAGAGAUAGAAGAGAAGGGCAGAUGUGAUGAGCAGAGCUAAAAAUUAAAAGCGGAGCCAGGGAGAAAUUGGGGUUAGCUUGAUGACAAGGGUUUUGCUGCGCACUCCAAUGUAUAAUUACUGUAUUACCCUCCUUCCCUUUUCUUUUCUUUCAUUUUUAUUUCGAGAGGAAAUUAUUUUUUUACAUAAUUACAUUUGUCUUUAUAAUUUGAAAGAUUAUACUUUACACUCUAUAAUUUGAUAUUUACAUAAUACUUUGUUUUUAUAAUUUAAAAAAAAAUACAUUUUUUUCAUGUACUUUGAUAUCUAAAUAACACUUUAAUUUUAUAAUUUUAAAUAAUUUUUUUAAAAAACAAAAUCAAUCAAAAUAUUAUGACAAUUUUUCAGCCCCGGAGAGGGUGUGUGCAUGUUCAGAAGAAAAGGCAAAAAAAAUCAGAGGAGUUUUCAACAAUUUUUUCCAUUAUCCAAGCAAAUAAAAAAAAGGAGUAAUUUCUUUGAGUUAUCAACCAGCCUUCCUCACCUUAUCUCUUCAUCGCGAUUUCUCCCUCAUUUUUUUACGCUAUGCAAAACCUUCAUCUCACUGUCCACCAAUAAUAUUUUUAUUAUAUUUUUGUUUUAGGGUUUUUUUAAUCAUUUAAAAAAUAAUGACAAUUUUAUAAAUAUUUAAAUAACUUUUAUUAAUUAUAUUUUUAAAUAAAAUGUUAAUUAUUCAGGUAUCAAACUACAAAAGAUAAAAUGUAAUUUCUCAAAUUAUAAAAACAAAGUGUUAUUCAUGUAUCAAAUUACAAAAUGCAAAGAGUAAGAUUUUAAACUAUAGAAAUAAAAUAUAAUUUGCACCAAAUCAUAGGAUGUUAUAUGUAGUUUCUCCUUAUUUUUACCCUUAUAAUUUUAAUUUUUAUAUUUUUAAAUGAAAGUUUAUCUCUUAAUAAUGUUAAAUAAUACGAGUAUUGUGAUGAAUUGCUUAUUUGCGAUGAUUUUUUUAAAAAAUAAUAUUUUAUAUAUAUAAAAUAUAUAUUUUUAAGUAAUGGCUUGAACUUUUCAUGCAAUCUUUAACUUAUUUAUAGGUUCAUUUAUCCCAUUUCAGACCUUAAAUUAUGCUUCACCUUAUCUCUUUUUACCAGCUACAUAUUUCAACUGCUUUUUCCCUGUUGGAUUGGCCUAGAGCUAGUUUCUUUACUGCAACAAUCUUCCCAUUCUUCAAAAUACCCUGUUAUGUUAGAUUGACACAGCAGUACAGGAAGCAUUAACUAACAAUAGAGCAGUGAGGCAGAGAGUAUAAUUGAAAUUUUCCAUCAAGAACAGUAUCAGAAUAUGAGCAUUCUCUCAUAUCAGAUCUGAUUUUAAUUCCUUUUUACUGUAAUCUGCGGCGCCACGCAACUCAGUUGCGUCCAAUAUAGAAUUGUGGCCAUGCCAUUACCUUACCUCUAGGAGUUGCCUUCCGCUUCCUUGAUGGUUUAAACCAAACAAGCAAUCCAACAAUAAGGGCAUUUCUCUUAUGCUUCAGUAUCAUAUGUAGGCUUCAGUCGCCUGUCUGCGCGUUACGGGCUCAAAUGCAGAUGUUUCAUAGAUGAUCUAGGGUUGACAGUAUUUCAAUUGCAAAUGUCCAUAGCUUGUUUUCUACAUCAUAGAAAUCAUGAUUUAAGUGGCUAAAGACACCUAGAAAUGCAUCAGGAUGGCAAAUGUUGGUUGAGAGGGAGCCUCAGUAGUUUUCAAGAAAGGCUUGAGGUUGAUUGUCUGGUUAUCAGCAAAGAAGGGUCUGUCCGAGAAUCUCAUAAAACAUCCUGAAUCAAAUGCCCUGCCAUCCGUAUUCGGAGGACAUCUCUGUAUGUUGUCAGAGGCCACUUCAAUACAAGCUUGGUGCAAUUCAAAGUUUGUAAAUAUAUUCCACAAGUGGAGUAUCUGUAGAAUAUCUGGAAAGCAACAUCCAUUCCAUCCUCCAUAGUGCCACAGCAUAGACUUGGCGGAAAGAUGUCAACGACCCGGUUUCUAAGAGCAAAACAAGAGAUCAGGUAUCCACCAUGAACAGCAUCCAAAUUUCCUCGCCGAUGGAAAUAAACUUGUAACGUAACAACAAACUCAUGCCUUGACAUUCUCAAGAUUUAACACACAGGCCUUCCAACCAUGUUUAUUAUAGCUAGCAAAGUGCUCUCACCUUGUGGAAUUGCUCAACUUACUAGUCACUCCACAAUAUAUCUCAAUUAACACAGAAUAAUAUAGAGAGAUGCAAUGAUCAUGAUCGAUGCUAUUCAAAUUCCUGCUUUCCUUGAGAUCUGCCACUCACCAUUUGCUAACUAUGUAGAGUGGACGUAUUUCAAUUAAAAUGUGUCAUUUACUUAGUAGGGGUUUUCUUUUUUUUAAUUAGAACAGUAAAUUUAAAGUUUUGGUAAAGAAAACCAGCUGAAGUGGCAAACUUUUAAUUUUAUUCGCGCUUCAUGCUUCAUAAUAUGAUAUUUAAACAUGUCUCGUUUUUAAAACAUAAUAACUGUCAAUUAGCUAGCCAGUUAUAUAAAUGAAUUGAUCAUUUCACACAAAAAUUAUAAUUUUAUAAUAAAAAUUUCAAAUAUAUUUUAUGAAUAUUUAUUCACCUUGUAAACUAAAAAACAGACUCAAAUUAAAAUCUUAUAAAUUUAAUGUUCACACAGUAGUUUUCACAUGUAAUUAUAAAAAGUUAGGUGUGUGGGUCUACCAUACAUAUAUAUGUGCCAUUUAUUUAUUUUUUCAAACUUUUUUUUUUCAUAAAUACAUUAAAAUAAUAUUUUUAUUUAUUUUUAAAAACAUAAAACAUAAAAAAAUAAUUUUAAAAAAACAGUAAUAAAUUUCAGCAAGCCUUUGAGCUGCACUCUCAAAGAAGAGCAUCUCGUUAUCAACGUCCGUUUCAAACAAAGCAAGGACGAAAGGCUACAGGGGGAGAAAGAGGAGACACUGCAAAGUCUUAAAAGCUUCAUCGAGUCCUAAUACAAAGGUUGAAAAAAUAUUUACUCAUUCAAGCCCUGAAGCCACUAUACGAGUGUGCUCAGCUAUGAAAUGGUUGAAAAGCUUUUCUUGAAGAGCAAAACACUCUACGAAUAGUGCUCUUGACAUAAUGCAUGUGUGUGUAAGAAGCUGCAAUAUACAUCUGACCAGUAAAGGAAGUCAUGCCUAGAUGGGGCUAAGUUUAGGUGACCCACAGUUUUAACAAAUUCCUUGCUGUACUAAUAAGCAUUAGUACUAGACUAUAGAGAUGGUGUGAAGAUAGACCAAUCACAUGCACGCAAAUUAUAUCAGAAAAUAGAUGACCAACUCUUGAUCACAGAAAUCAUAAUGUUUCCACUAAGCAAAAGCUUUAAUCUCUUUAUAAGACCAUUCCAACUCCUCUGCUCACUUGCUCAACUCCACAAUUCGAAACUCAUGAAUCUAAAGGAUUUCAGUGACUAAAGAAAAUGAAGCUUUGAUUUGAACUUGUGUCAUUCAUUAUGAUGCCUUUCAGGAAUUAGACUUCUACAGCAGUACUAAUUCAUAUUCUCCCCUAGAUCUCCAGCACAACUGACCAAAUUAAUGCAUUCAGUGGAAAAAUGAUGCGACCUAAUGCAAGUCAGCUAAGAAAAUGACACACAAGGGAAUGAAACAAAAAACUUACCCACAAACAUCUUCAAAUCGCAAAAAUAUUUGAAGCAGUCUCUACCUCUCAGGAGUACUCUGUUAUAUACUUUUCAGUAAGUCCCUAAUGAGAAGAGACCUGCUCCCAUCAGCAACACCUAAAACAAUUUCACAUCUUUAUGCUUUCAGAUGGUGAAAGUAAAUGAUAGUGGACAUUAAAAUCUAGAUGCUCAGCCAUUCACUACUUGAAGCUUCAGAAGAAGUAGCUGUAGCAGUACAGGGACCUUUUGGUGAUCAAAAUACAUUGCCACUUCACCACUCAUCAAUGGUAAAUGAAGAAGCUUGGGGUCUCAAGUUUUCUUGUAUUCUAUCCGUAACUAAUCCUAUCAGCUCUAUCUCCCUAUUAACAUGAAAGCAGCUAAAAAAUCAACUAGGACAAACACAUUAGCUAUAAAAACUAUCACAAAAUCAAUGUCAACCAAACACUAACAUUCAUCAAAUUUUCUUCCACAAACCUAAAAACCAAGCCACAUCGCAUCAAAUCAUCAACCGAAACACGAGCAAUUAACGCACCAGAGUCAACUGAUAUUACAUAACAAUAAAAGUCAGAGCCUUUCGGCAAUAAAAACAACACACACCAUAAAAGCAUCAUCAUUUGUUCUUCAAUAAUAACAACAAUUCCAUAAUAACAUAAACAUCGAUCAAAUGAAACCAGUUGAUAAUUACCGAAUUCACUAUCUUGAUUAUUAUAUACGCAAACCCAAAUCAAGAAAUUACCAAUCUCCCUCAUACCGAACCAGAUUUAACUUGCUCCGCCUCAGGAAUCUUGACAUACCCAAUUUUCUUCACAUCCUCCUCCUCAUCAUCACUAAAAUCUCCAUCAAAAUAAUGACUAUAUCGCGGCUGCGAAGGAGAAAAAAAAGACCAAACCAAGUACAUCGUAGCUGCAGUAAGAGCACCACAACCGACACCAAAAAGCAAAGCAACCACCACGCUAAGAAUAUCCUUAGUACGAUCACGCAACGAACUCAAAUCAUAACCACCAAAUCCAGGCCAAACCGACCCCACCUGGGAGGUUUCUUGAAAACCCUUCUUGUCAUGAAUUUCAUGGGAUUUCUCGUAAUUAUUGUUAGGGAUGAAAGGGAUGAAUCUGCGGUUAAAGAAGUUCGAGUGGAAGGCUGAAGUUGAGGUUUCUUCGAUUUCAGUUACGAUAAAGAAACCAGAAGAUGGGUUGUUAGGGUUAGGGUUAAGGGGUUUGAUGGACAAGGAAUAAGAAGAGAUGAAAAGCGUUUUGCAAGGUCUUGCUGAGCAUGAGAAGGAGAGGGAUGAAAGGAGGAUGAAGAGGGUGAGUAUGAGCUUUGAGGGUGCCAUCGAGGAGAAGGGGGCAGCCCGGAAGAGAGGAUUGGCUGACUUUUUUACUCUUGCUGGGAAGGAAGGUGAAGGAAAUGAGGAGAGAGGUGGUAUGCAAGGGAGGUUUUAUUUAUGUGAAGUAAGAAAAGAAUAAAUAAAUGUCAAGAGGAAAAAAAGGUUUCGAAAUUUAUUAUCCUAUUAUUUGUUUUUUAUAAUUGUAUUAGAUAAUGAGUUUAUGAUUAUUAUUAUUUUUAAUUUUAAUUUUGUGGGUUGUUGUAUUUAAAAGAAAUUUUCUUUUAAAAAGAUGUAUAUUUAAAUAACAUAAAAUACUAUAUUUAUAAGAAAGUUUAUAUCUAUAAAUAACAUAUAUCUUUUUAAAUUUGAAUAUGUGAUUGAAUUUAAGUAUUACAAGUUAUUUGGAUUGUAAUAUAAAAGGAUAAUUUUUAAAAAAAUAUUAUAAAUUUAGUAUGAGUCAUUUGUUUCUUUAACUAGAUUCAUGGCAUAUAUUUAUUCUUAAUAUAUAUAAAUUAAUUCAAGAAUGCUAUUUUAUUAUCGAAUAAGAGAAAUGAAGAAUAUGACUUUUUAGGUAUUAUUUAGGUGAAGGUAACCAGUUUUUUUUAUUAGAAAUUUUAUUUGCAAGAUGCUACCAUACUUAUAUGAAAUAAACAAAUUCACCAACUAACUUUUGAGGAAAAUAUUGCCUCCAACAUCUUCACCGAUAACAAAGAGCAUGACACAAACUAACUUUUAACGAAAAUAUGUUUUUUUUUCAUAAGAUAAGUUCAAGGAGAAAGUGUAUAAAGAUAAGAAGGCCAAAUCUAUUCUUAACCAUAUUGGUCAUAUGUUAUAAGAGAUAAGUGAUAAACUCAAAAGGAGGUUUAAUGUAUUAGUUCUGAAAUUAGUGAGGUUAUUGUUGUUAAUAUGAGGUAGUGAAAUUGAUUUGAGAAAUUUAUAGAUUUGUUAAAUGAAAGUAAAUUUUAAGGUUCCUAUUAUUUUGAUGGUUUAAUUGUGAAAUAUAUUUGGAUGUUGAUAUGUUUUAGAAAUUGUUAAUUGAACUUCAUAGGUUCUUGUUUGAUUUUAUGAAUUUAAAUAUUUAGGUUACGUGGGAAAAAAACAUUUUUGGAAUUUUUUUAUUUUGAUGUGAAAUUUGCAACUUGCAAUUGUCCAUAUAGAUCUCAAAAUAAAUAAAUUAAAUUUUAGUCAUAAAUAAAAUCAAAUGGUUUGCUGCAUGAGUUAUUAAGGUGUAUUUAGAAGUUUUAAAAUUUUGGAUAAUCUCUUGUAUAGAAAAGGUCAUGCUAAAUUUUUUAAGAAAAUAUAGUGAUGAUGUUAUUAAUUUUUAUCAAAUUUGUUUAGAUUAUGAAGAGAAUGUCAUUAGAGAGUAAUAUAAACAGGAGUGAUGCUAGUUUUUCUGACAGCACUUCUAAUGAGCAUGAGUCACUUUGUUCCCAACAUGAUAAGGCACCUCAGGCACAAGGAUCCUCUCUUGACACAGGCUCAUCGAGUGCGAGGAUGAAUCGUAAAAGGGAUGUCCCUUCUAAGUAGGAUGUAUAUAUUGGGAAGUAUAUUGCUUAGUGAAAGCCCUACUACAACAUGUAAGUUUGUUUUUCUUUCAUGCACAAUAAAAAAAAUAAACAACAAUGAAUAAAGUCUGAGUGACUAAUUUUAAUGAAAGAAUGGAAAUUCAGGUUUAUAAAUGUUGAGGCUGUUUGCACGAUAACAUCGGUGAUGAAGUUAUUGAUGGAAGUUCUUUUGUUUCAAUGAAAUCAGGUUUUCAAAAUUCUUGAAUGGAAACUAAUGAUUGAUGCUUGUUUCAAAAAGUUCAAGGUAAGUAUAUAUAUAAAUAUUUUUUUAAUAUUUAAUUCAGAUUUUUUUAAAAAUAUAUAAUUGUUUAAUAAAAUUGACGUGUAAGGAAAGGUUUUAUUGGGAGGAGGCUGACAACGACAUGGCUAGGAGAGUGUGGGAGAUCAUAGUGCCAUUAAAUGAGAUUGAAUUUAAAUUGUGAAGUUUUAUUUUUUAUAAUCUUAACCAAUACUUUUUUUCUAUGAAUCAGAUUGCGUGAUUUCUAGUAUAAGACCCAAAAAAGUCAAAGAAAUAUAUAAAAAAGAUAAAAGUCUUUUGGUUAGGAAGACAUGGUCGUAUAGAGGGAUUUCAGACCUUCACGCAUCUCAAAAGGUAUCUAGGAUGCUUCUAUCCAUCACGUGAUGUCUAAGCAUUUCUUGCAGUGGUUACAGUCUGGUUGAGAGAACCAAACCGAGGAGAUUCAUGGUUCUAUUACCACACACAUUGGCAGAUUCGUUAUAUUUGUUUCACAUGCAAAGUAGGUGGUAAGAUUUUAUUUUAUAUGAUAUUUUUUUUAAUUAUUGUAUUACAUGAAAAAUUUUAACUAACAAUAGUUUUCUUUUGUAGGUUAUGGUGUUUGAACGCAAUCCAAGACCGAUUAAGCUUUUUGUUGAAACCCACAUGCAAAAUGAGGACCGUCGGAAAGGGGUACAACAACUCGUGGAUAGUCAAGCUUAGAAGUUUUUGGGAAGUUGGAUUUCAACAUUUUUUUAAGUUAUUAUCUUUUUUAUAUAUUUGUGGUUUUUUUUAGAAAACAUAUAACACCUAAUUGCAUGAGAUAUAUAAAGAUAAUUAUUUAACCCAACUAGAACUCAAUCCUGAUUUCUAGUUAGAGGUUGGAUCUACCAAUGAACCCAAUACAAUCAUUUUCAUAGUAUCUCCAACACUACAGUCCAUGAUAUAUGGGCGGGCCAUAGUGUCUCAACCGAUAGUACCUCGUAAUCAAGAUUGAGCCAUCAAUAUUCAGUUAUCCAGACAAUUAUACAAGAACAGGCUCAAGUUGACACGGCCUAACUAGAGAUAAAUUGAAUGUCAUUGAGUAGUAAUUGGCAACCCUCAUUGGUACUUGUGCUCUCCCCGUCGCCUCUUGGUUCCAGUAAAGAUCCAUUUUCGUCUCCCCCUCCAGCUUUUGUCUACUAAAUAGUUAAAUUGUAUCUAAUAAUAUAUUUUUUAAUUUAAUAAUAAAAUAUGCUUUUUAAUCUUGGUAUUAUUUGUUUAAGUUAUUAUAUUUUUUAAAAAAUAAUUACAAAUAAUACUGAUAAAAUUACCGACGGAACAAGUUCCUCUAAGAGUUAGAAAAGAUUACAAGACUUGCCACUUUUAAAUUAAUUCUUUGAUGGAUUAAUUCCAUCGAUAAUAUGUAUAUAAUUAUUGAUGGAUUUACCAAAUGUUUAUUUUGUUGGUAAUAUGCCAUGGUCGCCCAUGAAUUUAUUAACGGAAUUAAUGUUGGUAAUUGUUUUACGUGCUAAUUCCAUCUGUAAAUCUAUAAGUGAUUUUAUUAUGGAUAGAUUGAUUGACAAAAUAAAAAUCAUUGAUGAUAUAUGUUUCGACAACAUGAUUAUGUUCGUUAUUUCAUUGAUAAUUUUAUUUUGAACUAAAUUAAUAGUUAAACACCGAUGAAAUAUUUAAUCAGUGAUCUUUAAUUUUCUGGUAGUGGUUUCAGUAAAUUCUUGUGAGGUUUUCACACCACCAUGACACCAAAUUGGGAGAUGCUUCACAAUUUUAGCCAUGUGCGAUUUAUGGGACAUUGUUUCUUUUAUUUAAUUUUUAAGCACAAACGUUGUAGGCAUAUAGUCUGGUGGAAUGGAAAUGGAACUGCAGAGAUGUAAAAUUAAUAGUAUAAAACUCUGAGAGUAAUUAGAAAGAGUUACAGUUAAAAUAUAAAUUAAUUAACUGUUAAAAAAAAUAUUUAUGAUAAAUUGGAAUCUUCAAACAACUUGGACAUGCACCCUGUUUAUAUUUUACCACUUAUCAUAAAUGUUUUAAAAAUAUAUAGAGAAAAAUGUUUGAAGUCGUUGUUGAUGAUCUAGGUGCUUUAGAUACUAUUCUUGGACAGCAUGCUUUAUUUUAUAGAUUUGUGCGUGUUUUUAUUUAGUUAAAUACAAAAUUAUCCUAAUUCCUACAUGACAAAUAAGGUUUGGUUUGGUUUGGUUUCCGUAACUAGAUUUUGUUUCAACCUCUGACAAAGACAGGACAAUUUAAAAGCUAUAUGUUGGGGUCUGCUCAAUUGACAAAUGAGUUUAUUUUGUGUAUGAACGUACAUCUCAUGUUCAAGUCUAAAAACGAGUAUAGGGAAUAGGAAAUUUAUCAUCACAUUAACGCAUUAAAAAAAACACUUAAAACAUCAAUUUAAUAUUUUUUAAUUAAUAAAAAGUGUAAAAACAUUUUGAGAAACAAGUUAAAAGAUGUCGACUUCAACAAUCCUCAAUAUCAGAGCUAAUUUUUAUUUUUAAUAUAUUUUUAAAAAGAUUUUAAUAAAAUACCAUAAUUAAAAAAAGAGAGUAAAAUAACACAAUUUAUUUAUGUUGUGAUUGAGAAACAUAAUUUUUAUUUAAAAUAAUAAUAUUUAUUAAAAAAAUAUUAAAGGUUUGUUUGUUUUGGUGUUUUAAAAUCGUUUUUAAAAAAACUUAAAAUAUUUUUAUUUUUUUUAUUAACUUUAAAUAAAUAUAUUUUUAAUAUUUUUAAUAUUUUUAAAUUAUUUUAAUACGUUAUAUCACAAAUAAUUAAACAAAAAAAAAGAAGAUGAAUUCACAGCAAGUAUUACCCACUUGGGUUCGCUUGUCUUCAUAAUAUUUUUAAUUAAUUGUACUAACUUUAAAAAAUAUAUAUUCUCAUGUCGGCCUGUUGCACGAGUACAAUAUAUGAUGAGGACAAGCUUGCGGGAACAUUCAAUCAAACGCUACAGGAAUAACUGCAAAUCAAUCCUAACAUGCAUAGUAAAUAACAAUUCAGUUCCUAAAUUUAUAACAUUUUGCUAAUUUUUCCAAAUCUGCAGUUGUUUCACUUUCAUCCUUGGAUCGAUUUCCGUUGACAAAUAAAAUCCUGGAAUCAGUUAAAAACCAUGAAAUAAGUUGAAUUUGUUAACAGAACUUCUAUAAAUGACUUCUGAAUCAUAAACUUGGAAAUAUAGUAUUAUAGAAUUUGUUAGAACAAGGAAAGCUUGGGGAGAAACUAGCGAGAUUCUGAAAGGUUGAGGACUGAUAUGCUAAUUAAUAUAUAACUUGGUGACUGAAGUGUAGUCUUACCGAAGCUAGAAAGGGAAAUUUAAAACCUGACUCAUUAAUUACUCUUCAUUAAUAUAGGAACACGUAAAGCUACGGAAGCAAAGCGAAAGCAAGUUAGCGUUCUUUCUCCACCCAUCUCUUUCUCUUUCUUUCUUUCUUUCUCUGUAAUCUCAAAGCAAAGGAGGAAACGAAGAGUAAAGGCAAAGGAAGAAAUGGGACUUCUUUCGAACAAGAUCGAUAGAGAGGUGUUAAAGCCAGGGGAUCAUAUCUACUCAUGGAGAAACGCUUACUUAUAUGCCCAUCACGGUCCGUCUCUCUAUUUAUCUUUGUUUUUUGCUUUUUCGUGUUGUGUUUGUGUAAAUGAUGUCUUGGCUUGUUUUUUGGCUGCCCUUUUUGUUUUCGGUAUUUUAGAUCAGUGUGGAUACCCUUUUGGAUUCAGGUUUGUGAAGCAAUUGAUGUUUUGGUGUGCUUUUAGGAUGCCCAUUUGAUUUCUCAUUGGUUUUUGACAUUUUGAGAGCAGGAUUAAUAGUCUGUGAAUGCAAAGGUGGGGGCUUUCUGAUUGAGUGAUGGGCAUAAAAUGGGUGGAUUUAGGCCUUUACGUGCAAUUGAGUUGGUGGGUAGCGAUUAUAACUUUGAAUUAACCAGACAUUAAUUUUUUACUGUUUUUGUGACGCCUUCUGUGUUGAUGUUACGUGCUGCUGGCUGUUACAGGAAACGAUUAUAACGUCUGUUAAUUAAUCAUAGUUUAUAAUGUCUGUUAAUUGAUCAUAGUUAGAUGCUUCUCUUUGGAGUUUUAUUGGAAGUGAUACAGAAAUUGGUGGGAGCGGCGAAGAUGUGGCAUGGAAACUUUAAUUUUAAAACUUGGGAUACAGUUAUGGGCUGAAUUAGUGUGAAAACCUUUGUGCAUAUAGUUCGAUUGUCUUGUAUAUUGUGACCAAUUUGCUUGCUCAAACCAACCAUUGUCUGGUUUGUGAGGUUGGUUUGGUGGUUUUUGGUAUGAUAAUUAAUGAGAAACUUUACUAGUUUGAAGAGGCUUUGUGUCUUUCGUUAGGGUUCAACCCUACUGGCCUGAUUUGCAUGUAUCUAGUGAAAUUUGUUUUGACAAGAGUAACUUGUUUUUUAUCCAUUCCUUUGCUCUCUUAUUCAAUGUUCCUUUAGGACUGGAUGCAUCUUUGACAUUUUCAACUACAUUAUAUGACUCUUGAAUUUGAUUGAAUUUACUGCUUUUUUGUUGUUUGUGCCUUUUUCAUGCCAUUGAAUGCUAGCAAAUGUAUGUUUUUUGUCCCACUGGAAUUUGGAUGUUAAUGAUAUUACCAAAGAAUACCCACGCACCAUAUAGAAUAUAAUCGUUAUAAUUUACAAGACUUUUGAGAGAUAAAAAUCAAAAUUGGCAUAGUAUCAAUAGAAUUUAAGUGUUAUGGAGUCAUGCUAUCCAAGGGCAAUGAUGUGGUUCUGCAGGUAGCUUUUACAUCUCAAAAUAAAUUAGCUCACGGGGAGGUGAUUUGAUCCAUGCAUAAGUAUCUUGUAACUGCUAAAGACGCCUCUCUGCCUUCCAUCAAUUGUUGUUGUGGUACAACUCCUCAAGGCCUUUUUCAGGUUGUUUAAUACAUGUAAUUUUUGUUAAAAUUUGUAGAGUUGUAAUCUUUUCCAUAUGUACUGAUGGAUAGUUCCCAUUUAUUUUCUGCUUUGUCAUGCUCUUUUCUCAACUUUUAAAUUUUGGCUCUAUGACUGUUUGUUACAUUGAGAGAGGGAGAGGGGGGGGCUUCUUCCAUUAACUUCUGUAGGAGGUCACGUGGAAGUCAAAGCUUAACUUCUGUUUCCUUUCCAGUUUUGGGGUUGCUAUAUUAAUGACUCUACUCAUUUCUUGCAUUUUAGAUUUUUCUUUCCAAUGACCAAAAUUGUCUUUAUUAAGUGUUUGAAUUCUGUGCUAUCUGAUUCUGGUUAUACACUCAAGAUGUAGCAUAUGCUCGUGUGCAUCUAGCUAUUAUUGUGCAAUUCUGAUUUAUGGAUAUGACAUUAGCAUUUUGAACUUGCUUUUCUAAUCAGUUUCUUAUAUGAAACUAGGCAUAUAUGUUGGUGAUGAAAAGGUGAUCCAUUUCACUCGGGGAGGGGGCCAAGAAAUUGGCACAGGAACUGUGUUAGACCGAUUUGUUUUCAGCUCAUCUCCUGCUCAUCCUUCAGAUAAUCCAUGCCCAAAAUGUGGUGAUCAAUCAAGGCUUGAUGGUGUCAUCUCGUCCUGCAUUGACUGUUUCCUCUCAGGUGGCGAUCUCUAUCUUUUUGAGUAUGAUGUCUCAGCAGCUCUCUUCCUUGCUAAACCUCGAGGUGGUACCUGCACCCUUGCCAAAUCUGACCCACCAGAAGACGUCCUUCACCGUGCUUCCUUCCUCUUGCAGAAUGGUUUUGGUGGAUACAACAUUUUCAAGAACAACUGUGAGGAUUUCGCAAUCUACUGUAAGACUGGUUUGCUUGUUAUUACUAGUAUUAGUGUUGGCCGAAGUGGGCAGGCCGCUUCCUUCUUAGCUGCUACUAGUGCUGUUGCUUCUUCACCACUUCGAUUUUUGACAGCCAGCUUUAGCGGCCUGGCAGUUGUGGGAUAUGGGAUGUAUUGUGCCAGCCGGCUAGUUUCUGAUAUCGGAGUACGUCGUGAUGUGUCCAAAAUCCCUGUUGAGCGGCUUAUUGCCAGUUCUAGCUGAAAUGAGUCAGAAGUUGUGGCUGCCCUGGCCAAGGAAAAUUAACCUUAUUUACCUACAAUAAUUGUGAGUGUGUGGAUUAAAAGAAAUGCUGUAUUGUGGUGGUUGCAACUCCAGCUGCUAAAACUCCCAUUUUCAGUGAUCUCCCAUCGGCCUAUUCAUUGAUGCCAUCGGGAAAUAUUGUGUAUUUCGAAAAUGUUUGUUAUUGGAGUGAAAUUGCUGAUUCAUGGACAAAUAUUUUUGUGUGUUACUAUUGGUAGCUUAAUUUGGUGUCUGCUCCUGCUAUGCUAUCCUCUGCAAGCUAUUUAAAUGCUUCAUGCAUCAAAAUAUAUACAAAUUUACUAAAGAAAGAUAUUCCUCGCAACCUCUAUCUUGUAUGGAUAGUCAAUGUUUGAGGGCUGGCUAUUGGACAGGACAGGCUCCCCCAUGUUUGCUUAUCAUUUAGUUAAUAGAUGUAGUUGCAUCUCAAAUAGAAGUGAUUGAAUGGGAAGUGGCAUUCUUCAUUUUUAAUUGAAAACACAUCUCCUAGUGCUCGUUGAAACGCAGGUGCGGUUGCACCUUUGUUUUCAAAUUAAAAUGUUCUUUUAGUUUUGAAAUGAAGUGAUGAUUCCUCCUUCAUUUGUAAAAUCAUGGAGAAACCCUAGUUUCAACACAUGCAAUAAAGACGUAAUGUUCAACUCAGAGCAGCUGAAGGCCUGAUUUGGCAAAUUUUAAUAGUUGCAGAGAGAGUGUUCCUGUGUUCAGGAUAUAUAUUUUGACAUUGUAAACUCCAUCACAAACUGGGAAAAAACCAGUUUUCUUGGUGCGGAGAAAACUAUUGUAAAAAACAGCCUAUAUAUAUAUCUCUUAAAAUUUGUUUUUACAAGAAUAACUUGGUUAUCAUCCAUACCCUUGCCUACAGGAAAAAUCUGUCAUUUUCAACUACACUGUAUGGUUGUUCCUUAAGUUUGAUAACAUUUCCUGCUGUUUCCAUGCCUUUGAAUGCUAGCAAAUGUAUGUUUUCUGUCCCUCUACAAUGCACAUCUUAAUCAUACAGUAAGAGGAUACAAACCAGCCGACCUUAUGAUCAUUUCCUAUUGCCUACUAGCAAAUAAUAAUAAUAAUAAUAGCUAUGACUUGAAAAUGAAGGUUUAAUACAAAGUUUUGAAGGAUCGAUACCCUUCCAAAAGGUCACCCGGCAGCGGCCAUAGAUAGACCGCCGCAUGCCAUGGUGACCCACUAUGAUUCAUUCUUUGAACCUGACUGGUUCACUUCCUGGUCAUGCUCAUGCCAAUCUUGUUAAUUGGAUCAUGAAAAGGUGCCUAACUAAAGACCAGUUUAAUAUUAGACUCUUCACAUGGGCAAGAAAUUAAUCAAUUUGGGUUCAUCUUAAAAGGAAAACCCUUAGAAAACAAAUGAUAAAGGUCGCAUAUGAAUAGAAUAUGCCAAUUAAUGAUUUUAUUGACGAGUUAACUUAAGCUAAUUUAAAACAGUGUUGUUUUAAAAAAAUUAAAAACAUUAAAACAACAUUAUACUUAAAAAGUGCUUCCAAUUAAAAUUGGUGAGUAUCCAAAAUAAUUAAAAAAAAAUCUAGUAAACUCUUGGUACUUAAAUACCAGUUUUCUUGUAGGUCUAGCAUUUAUACUAGAAUAUUGACCAUUAAUUUUUAGGAAUUUAAGUUUUUAGAAUUAUUGAAAUAUUGGUCAAAUCCUUUUAAGGAAUUUUACAAAUUUAAUGUAAAUUCAAAUAAACCAAUAAAAAAAUUUUAAAACAAUGCUAAAAACAUUUUUCUCUCUUUUUUUUAAAAUGCAAUUUUUGUGAGGAUUGAAUUGUAUGCAACAAGCGAAAAAAAUCACCUUUUUACAUGACUGAAUUGACCUGGAAUUUUUUAUUCGAUCAUAUACCGAACUAAAAUCUACUAGUUUGACUCGAAAAACAAAACCUAAACUAGAAUCCAAAACGAAUCAAACUAAAAAAAACAUAAAAUAUCAAAAACUCUUUAUCAAAACCCAGGAAAAAAAAAGAACAUGAAGAACAUCGAAAAACAUUCAAAAAACCAACAACAUGAAUUUCAAAUCGGACUAGAUAUGGAUAAACAAAGUACACAAACAUGUUGAAAAUCAUGUGGUGAUCAAUAAUCUAGUAUUUAUACACUUUGAUUAUCACUCAAAAACCAUAAUUUUGUCGAAAUGAGUUUCGGUUCAAAACUAAAACUCAAUGAUUAAAACCUAUUGAAAACAUGUUAAUGAUGAAAAUAAACCCUAGAUUAUUAACUAAUCAAGUUGCCCAAAGGAUUCUGUACAAAGAAUUAAACCAAGACUGGUCUAAAUCAGAGGGCUAAGGCAAUGUUCUUUUCAAAAACAUAAAAAACAUUGCCCAACAAACCUAAAAAAUAGCUUUUUAUGCCUCUAAAACAUGUUUCCUUUGUUCCAACAAACCAUAUUAUCACAACCAAACAUAUUUAAAUAAAAACAACUAACAAACAACGUCAGAUCAUCAAAAUAAUCCAAAAGAUACCAAAUCCAAAAACUAUCAACUUAAAACAACCAACUUGUUUAUUCAAUAAGGAUUCAAAAUUGGUUUUUUAAAUUUAUUUUGGUCAUGAACAUGCCUUGCAAAUAUAGGAUAAACAUCAUCAUCAUUGUUUAAGUUAAACUAAAACAACACUAUUUUAUCGAGAAGAAACAACUUAAAUAGAAGACUUUUACUACAUCAAAAACAUAAUAAAAAAAAUCUUUAGAAAACAAAUUAAACUAUCAUAGUAACAAAAAGGACAACCACAACACUACUUGUCAAGCAUUCCAAACUCCAUUUCCAUGUUUGUAAACAUAAUUAUAGACCAAAUAACAAUAAUAAUAAUAAAAAAAAACAACUCACGCAGGCUACUCAGACUCCACUUUUAGGUUGGAAAGUAAUACAUUUAAGCUCCUAAAAUAGCUAUUACUCUCUUUACUUUCUUUUGUCAAGUCUUGCUUCCAUAAGUUUUUUUUUUUUUUGUGCACAGAGUUAUUAUUUUCCUAAAGGGUUCAAGUUGCAUAAAAUUAUUUGAAUUAAAUCUCCAAUUUGAGGAAGGUAGCACAUAAAUAAUUAUUAAAGUUGAAAAAACUCUGCGCGUAUCUCUUGGCCACUCCUAGCAUGCACCUGCUACUGUGCUACAAGAUUGCUGCCAGCUUUUAGCCAGCAAUUUAAAUAUCACGUGGGCCUCACGAUUAUCUGCUAUUAAGUAAAUCCUGAUCAUUAAUCAGUAUACACGGGUGACUGACCAAAUCUUUUGAGCAAAUCUAACGGUUCUGAUCUGCUUAACAGCCAUCGUCUUGUCAGGUUUAGAGAAUGGCCAGCAGUUUAAAGAAUGUGUAAUGGUUAUUUUUUAAAUAAUUUUUUAUAUUAAAAUGUAUAUUAAUAAUGUGUUUUAUUUUAAAAAUUAUUUUUAAUAUUAAAACGGUUCAAAACAUAUAAAUUAUAUUAAAAUUUAAUUAAAAAAAAUUAAAUUUUAUAGAAACACGGUUUUUACUAUCUUCCUAGACGCUCUCUUAAUUUUCUCGGAGAUGCGGCACCGCAGUUUGGAAGACAAACCUCUUACCGUUACAGGCUGCAAACGGUCAACUAAAGGGAUUCAGUCUCUUUUCUUACCUUAUAGUUUGAAAGUAUAAGUUUUAAAAAAAUUAUAAAUUAUAAUAUUUUUUUAAUCAAGAUUUCAAUAGAUUUUUUAGUGAGACAUUUUUCAAUUUAUGAUUGAAAUAAAAUACAAACCUUAUCAAAAAAAUAAAAUUCAUGUGAAUUUAAAUAAUUCUAUUGAAUAAUAACUUUGUAUUAUAAUUUCUUUUUAAUAAUCUUUUUCAGCAUUUUAGCUUGAUAGUAUAUAAGAUAAAAACUAAUAAAUUUAUCACUCUUGUUAAAACUACAUCAUAAGAUUUUACAAGAGAGAUGUGAUUCACGUUAUUAUCAAUUUAGAAGGAUAGCAAUGUUAAAAAAAUGUUAAAAAUGAAUAAAUCCGCCAAAAUCACUUUUGAUUAACCAAAACAGUUAUAGAAGAAAAAGAUUACAAGCAUUAAAUUAUAAAGAAAUUUAUUCUCAGCAUGAGGAUAUCAUCCUAUAUUCUAAAAAAACAAAUAAACAGAUUAUGCUAGCAAAUGGUUAAAAUCAAUGGUAAAUAUUCAAAAUACAAGAAAUUCUAGAGAUGUCACUUUUUGUGAUUAAGAUGGGUUUGGCAAUGCAGUUUAAAUCAUUUUUUAAAGUAUUUUUUAUUUAAAAAAUAUUAAAUUAAUAUUUUUUAAGCACUUACCAAUUAUUUUAAUGUGGUGGUAUUCAAAAUAAAAAAUAUAUCUUGAUGCAUUUUAAAUUAAAAAAAACUUUUAAAAAACAUAUUGUACCGCAUUACUAAACUUACAUCUUGAGAGAGAUGUAGUUAAGAAUACUGGAAUGAAUGUGUUGUUUUAAAACUCAAAUUAUUAGCUUAAUAGUUGAUAGCUUUGAUCAAUCCGAAUUGAAAAAAACAAGAAAAACAACAUGGCUGACUAGUCAAUAACUCAAGUUGACUCGAUGACUCGUGCAUAUCUUGACCAUCAUUCAAUUAUCUUGUUUUUUAUUUUUGAAAAAACAUUUUGGCCAAAAUAAUGUCGUUUUAAAUUAAAAAAAAAAACAAAUUAAGAUUAACCAAAAUUGACCCUUGUGGUCUAUGACUUAAACUUUAUCCCAAGUCAAGUCAUGUUAGGUUUUAAAACAAUUUUUAAAUAAGCUUGAAGUUUUAUGAUAUGCUAAUUGUUGGUGUUGUUUGUAAGACAAUAAAAAAAUAAAAUAUUUUUGUCCCAUAUAAAAAAGAAACAUUCAUUCUCGGGUCUUUAUAAAUGUGAGUUUUUAUUAUCUAAAAAAAUAAAUAAAAGUUAUAAUAGAUGAGCUCUUCUAAUGAGCUUUUUAAUGUUAUUAUAUAAAUAUUUACAAUAUAAAAAAGAUGUCACUUAAUACUUGAAACUCAAUUUGUUGAUGAGAUUGAUUAUUUAGUGAGUUAAUUUCUUUUAAUUUUCACGAUUAACUUUGAUAUUCGUGACUAUUAAGAUAAAAAUAAAUAAUAAUUAUUUAGUUUAUAUAAUUGUUAUAUUAACAAUCAUAUAAUUUCAUUAAAUUAUUUAAAAUCUAUAUAAACAUAUUACGAAGGCAUAACUAUGCAAAGCAAAGACAAAUCAUAUAUUAAAAACAACAUAUUUUCUUUUCUUUAUCUGUUUUUUAGAAAUCUGUAUAGUUUACUGGUGUUAUCCCUGCAUGACACUUUUAAACCAAUUAAUUUUAUUUUUUAUUUAUUUCCAUACUCAAAUAGUCAACUAUCACCGAAGCUAGUUGAACUGGAAACGGCAGCACCUGUCUGAAUCACACUAUCAGAUAACAUCUAAAGGAGUUUUUAUUUCCACGUGUGUCUCUUCGAUUUUAUUUUUAUAUAUAUAAAUAUUUUAGCUUUAGGCUCUUGACAAUCCAUUCUUAAAAAUAAAAUAAAAAAUAAAAAAUCUUGCAAUAUUGUGUUCCGGAUACACCCCCUCCCCUCGUUUUGAUUGCCUUGAAAGAUAUGAUUUUAAAUAUUUUAAAUAGCAUGUCAUCUAAGUUAAUACAUGACCUGUCAAGGCUCUAUUUUCUUAAGAUUUUUUCCUAAUAAUCUCACAUUUUAAUGCUAUUCACUCAAACACCAUCCUUUUUGUUCAAAGUCUCCCCCCCCUCCUUCUUUUUUUUUUUUUUUAAAACACAAAGUUAUAAUUUUAGAUACCAUUUGAGAACACAGUGCAAAUUGUGUUCCACAAAAAUUCAAAUUUUUUUAUAAAAAAUAAUUUUUUAUAUGUUUUAAAUGAUUUUAAUGUGCUGAUUUUAAAAAUAAUUUUUAAAAAAUAAAAAAAAAUUAAUUUAAUACAUUUCAACAUGAAAAAUACUUUAAAAAAACAAUCAUAAUCAUACUUCCAAAUAAAUAAGUAGUAUUUCGUAAUCUUAUAAAUCUUUCUAGCUAACUAGAGAUCUAUCACAAAUUAUUCUACCUAAAAUAGAAAGCGUUUAAUAUGCUCCAAAUCAAUAUUAUUAAAUUUAGGGAUCUGGUCCAUCCACAAUCUUGUUCUGUUCAAAUUUAAAAAAACUUGGAAUUAAUUCAAUCAUGCCUAAACAAUCCAAAUAAUUUAGCCAAAAUCUUACUUGCAUUUUUUUAAAAGCAAAAAUCUCAAAACAAUGCUAUUUAUUUUUUUAUUAGAAAAUUAAAAUUUUAUUAUUUUUUUUAAUUAAUUUAAAUUUACUAGGAUUAAUUCAUCUAGAUCCUAUGUCUAAUUCUUAAACCAAGUCCGGAAACAUGCCGGUUUAAUAACUUUGCAAAAAAAAAAAAAAAUCCGGUUUGAGGAAGGUAGCACGAAGUUAUUAAAGUUGAAAAGCUCUGCCCGUAUCUCUUGGCCACUCCUGAUAUGUAACUGCUCCAAGAUUGUUUCCAGCUUUUAGCCGUCACGUUAGCUAACUAUUAUUUAAAUCCUGACCAUUAAUCACUGCACACGUGUGAGUGACCAGAUCUUUUGAGUAAAUCUAACGGUUCUGAUCCGCUUAGCAGCCCUUGUCAAGUUUGAGAAAGGCCAAAAGUCGUUUUUCUCUUUUAUUGGUGAUGCGCGGCCCACAAUUUCGAAGACAAACCUCUAGAGAUGCAAAUGAAGAGGCAUAGUAUAGAUGCUUUUUAUUUCUAUAUCGUAGGUAUUUUAACAGGAGAGGCAAAGCAAUAGUUAAAAUAGCUUUUUGCUUUGUCAAGAGCCAUUUUUAUAUUUAAUUGUAGAAAUGAUUAAAAUGGCCAACGGCUAUCAACAGUUUUUUUUUUUUUUUUUUAAACAUAGAAAAUUUUGUCUAUAAAUACAUGAAAAAAAACUUGUAGUUUUAAAUUUUUGUAUUGUGCCUCACCCUUCUCUCAAAUUUUAAAAAAUAAGAAUCGAUUAUUCUCCGGUUAAUUAUUAACAUCGGUUGUGUUAAUUAGCUGAAAUUAAAAGGUAUGCUUGUUUAAAAGUUUUUUCUAUUUUCGUUUUAAUAUCUCUUGAUUUUUUAGAACUUUUUUUUGUUAAUUUAAUAUUUGUGAUGAGUUUUAUUUCUUUAUUAUUUUAUAUUUUUAAUAUGGGUUAAGUAAGACAAUUUUUAUUUAUGUUGUUAUCUUUGAUAAAAUUGAGAGAAAUUAAUAAUGGUAGUUGAUAUUGAUAAAAAGAUAGAGUUGCAUAUUUAAAAUUUAUUUUUGAUUGUCUGUUUUAAUUUGAGGUCAAUUAUAUUUUUUCUUGAAAAUACAAUUAAACCAGUAUAUUGAUUCUCUUUUAGUUUCAAAAAAUGGUCAAAUUGUUAUGUUAGAACAAGUAGAAAGCAAUGCUUAUUAUUAAUUCGCAUGUAUGAAAACUACAAAAUUGUUAAACAUUAAAUGUGAGCUUCUUGUUAUGAAAUUGAUAUCAAUUUGUAAUACUUUUAUAAGUUUGAAUUUGACUUUUAAAAAAUUAAAUUUUUAACAAUAACAUAUAAAACUUAAAAUUAAAAAUAUUCAUAUAAAUAAAUUUUAAAUUUAAUUUUAAAUUAUAUUUUUUAACUUUUAUAUUACUUCAUUAAUUUUAUAUUAAUUUUAUAAAUUACUCAUAUUAAUUAUAUAAUUAAUAACAUCAUAAUUAUAUUAUAUAUAAAAUAUCUAAAUUAGUUAUAUAAUUAUAUUAAAAUUAAUUUAACAUGAAAUAUAUUAAAAUAUAAAUGGCUUUUCUAAAUAGCUUUUUACCAUUGGAAUGCAUAUAAUACAAAAAGCUAUAUUUACACUAUUCAAAAAGCUAUUUUCUUCAUUUGGCUCUUCAAAAUGGCAUUUCUCAUUGGAGAUGCUCUUAGGAAGUUACUCCAAGACCCCCGGCACUUUUUAAAUUUUCUUGAAUAUAUUUAUUAUUUAAAAAGUUUAUCCAUAAAAAAUAUUUUAUAAUAAAAAAAUUAGGUUGGUUUAUAUAUAUAUAUAUAUAUAUAUAUAUAUAUUAAAAAACACAUCUUAGAAAUUGUGAAAAAUUAUGCCUCUCAUAUUAUUUGUUGAUUAUAUUAGAUUUUAUCCUCAAACUUUUAAUUACUAUAUAUUUUAUUUAAAUAUUUUUUUUCAAUUUCAUUCAUUGAAAUUUGAUUUUUAUACAUUUGGUUCUUAUUUUUAUGAUUUUUAUUUGCUUUUCUCUUAUUAUUUUCUUAAUUGAAAUUUUUUUUAUCUAUCAGAUUCAAUUCUUGUUCUUUUGAUUUAUAUUUAUUUUAUUUGAAAUAAUUUAUGAAAUUAUAAUAAUUAUUUUUUUAUUUCAUCAUCUUUGAAAUUUUUUAUUCAUUAGAUUUGAUCUCUAUUAUUUUGAUUAAUAUUUAUUUUAUUUGAGAUAAUUUGAAAUUAUAUUUUCUUUCAAUUUCAUUAUCAUUCAACUUUUUAAUUUGUAAGAUUUGUUUCUUAUUAUUUUAAUAAACUUAAAAAAAUUAUUAGUAAAUUAUUUUUGUGCUUAUUUUCUAUAACAUAUUCAAACACUGAAGAAUAUUUUUCAACUUAUUUUUCAUGAUACUACCAAAUGUAAAAAAAAAAAAAAAUCACUUUCUAGGAAUUCAUUUGCCAAUAAAACGACCUUCCAAAUUAAAAUUACUUUUUAGCAAACAAACAUGGCCUAAGUGUCUUGAUGUUUUUUUACUUAGGGGUACUUAAUUAAGAGUGCAGUAAUAUUUAUUUUUUAAAGUAUUUUUUAUUUGAAAAUAUAUCAAAAUAAUAUUUUUUAUUAUUUUUUAUAUCAAUACGUUAAAACGAUAUGAAAAAACAAAAGAAUUUAAUUGGAACCAAAAAAAAAAUUAAAAAAAUAUUUUUUUAAAGAACACUUUUAAAAUAAAAAAAUAAACUUACUAUUAAUAUAAACUCAAGCUAUAACAAAAAAAAAAAAUGGUUCGAGUGAGUUAAAAUAAUUAUAUUGACUGCUACCGGAUCCAUUACUUGAACUCAUUGAUAAAGUGCUGGCUUGUUUAUAAAAAAAAUAAAACAUGAACAAAGAAAAGUCUAAGUUUAUAUUUAAUGUAAAAUGCUACGAGAGCACGACGCGUGUCUCUAUUGAUCUAUAAUUAUUUAUAUAAUUUAGAAGUUAAUACCAGUAUAAUAAGUUAUUUAUAAACGGUAUUAAUAUAUGUGUGGCUUUACUUGUUUGAAGAAAAAAAAACCUUUUAUAAGAGUUUUUUCAUUUACCAUAUUAAAUUAUUUUUUUACUAGGAUUUAUACGGAUAAUAUAUGAUUAAAUUAGUGUAUUCCUUCAAAUCUUAUUUCUUGUGAUAUUUUUUAAAAAGAAAUAAUUGCUUGUCAAGAAACUAAUAAUUUUUAUCAAGAAACUAAUAGUAUUAUUUAGAAAACUAACGUACAUGCUUGAUGAUCACUUCGCAUCGGCAAAAAUAUCAAACAAGAAUAAAUUCACACAAAGCAUGAGAAAAAAGCCACACCCAUUCAUUUAUAGAGAAUUUAUUCUAUCAUCCUAUAUUAAAAUAAUAAUAAUAAUAAACUGAAUAUGCUAGCAAAUGGUGAAAGAUUCAAAUUACAAGAAUAUACUUGAACGAGCUUGAAGUUUUACGACCGGUCUUUUAAGCCUGGAGGGCCUCGUCUUCGACGUGUAAAGGACAAGGUUACGUAGCAGAAAAUAUUUUUUUGAUUUUUUUUUUUAAUUAUUAUUAAUAUAGAUAUUCAGAUCAAUUUGCAUGUACCUUAACUAAUCUCACGAGCUUUGAAGUUAACGACCAUGUAAAUCUUCAGCGACUGAGAUUUGUUAGACUCUCAAACUAAUGAUUUUUAAAAACAAAUCUAAAACCUGAUCAAUUGAGUUAUAUAUUCAGAAUUAAUGGUGCUGGAUUGGAACAAAAAACGUUGGUGAUGCAACGAGAAAAAAACUAGACACUUGAAACUUUUCAAUUAUAUAUCAUAGAUCCAAUAAUUUAUUCAAACGAGAGAGAAUGACAUGUUUAAAAUCAUGAUUCAAAUUUGCCAAGGAUAUGUAAAAAAUGGAGAUUCAUGCUACAUGGAAGAAUUUUAAUAUAAAGACUUUUUUAUUAUUUUAUUCUAUUUUAUUUAUUUAAUUUUAAAUAAAUAUUUUUAAUUUGAAUUUUUUCUAGUGCAUUAGACAUUGUUUAGAGGUUUAUUUCACUAUUAAAUUUAUGUUAGUUAAUUUUAAUUUAAACUUAUUAGCUUGCAAUUCAAAAUGCGUCUAUCAAAACUUAUUGGGAUGGGACCAACCAGGUUGUUACUAGAUUUAUGUGUGCUUCAUAUCUUUCAGUGAUUCUCCUGUAUAGAGAAAUUUUGUUUUGAGACUUUUUAUUUCUCUAUGUCAUUGAUUUAUUGAUUCAUAUUAUCUAUCUCUUUCAUUUUAUUUAGACCACUCGUUGAUUAUAAUAUUGUUGACUUAUUUUAUCAUAUUUUAAUGUGAAUUAAUUUCUUGGCUAGAAUUAUUAAUAUAUAAUUAAUUUAAAAAAUUACUUAUGAUUUUACGAUUUUCUGAUCCGAGUUUGUAUUUUUUGUAUCAUAUCAAAAAAGCAUUUUUGAUAACCUUGAAAUGAAGCAUGUUUUUCAUCAUUGAUAUCAUGGAUGUAUUUUUACUAACCAAUCAUCUUGUAUUUUUUUUUUAUCUUAAUUCAAUAUUAAGUAUCUUGAUUAAUAUAUUCAUGAUCUUCUUCUAGUAAUUUUCUUACGAAAUCAAUAUAAAAAUGAUAGUAAUAAUAAUAAUAUAAGAUAUUGUUAAUAUGUAAUAAUAUCUUAUAUUAUAGGUAAAGUUUCUAUCAAAUAUGUAUGUAUAAAAUUGAAAUAAAUUGUUGUUUUUUAUAUAGAUAAGAUUUUUUUUAUUAUUAUUUCUUUCAAUGAGAGUUUUAUACCUUUAAACAUGAAAGAUUUUAAGAUUUUAUUUUCAUUGUUCGGAAGGGAUUCCCAUCCAUUAACACUGGUUCUAACUUUGGUUUUCUUGCUAUUGCCAAGUUAUUCAUGGGUAUUUUGGUCUUUUAUCAUGAUUUAAUUAUUAAUUAAAUUGAGAAUGUUGUUGAUGAACGCCCAAGUGAACCGUCAACAUGUGUGUCGCUCGCACAUUUUAAAAGGUAAAUGCAAUGUGUACCUUUUUAUAAAAAAACCAUCUUACCAUGCCAUUAAAAGGGUCAUUGUGUUUUUGAAGUGAUUUGUUGCAAGCAUAUUUUUUUUUCUCUCUUUUCACUGAAAAAUUACAGGUUAGUUUUUUUUGUUGUUAAUAUUUCAACUUCAUUUAUGAUUAUUUUGAUUUAUAAUAUUUGCUAUUGGCCUUUUUAUAAAAGUUUAAUUUGUUUUUCCCUCAAUUUUAAUUUAUAUAUAUUAUUUUUUCAAAGUUGAUCUUUAUUUUUUAUUUUUUUUCUUUAGUUAUUUUGUAAGAGUUUUAUUAGUUUUUAAUUUUAAUUUUCAAUACACGAUUGUGCCUAUGACCUAAAACAUGAAGUAUCAUUUCUUUUUAAAAUACACUUGUGACACUUAAUAUUAUUUUUUUAUAUAUAAAAAUAAUUUAACCACGUGGUGAAGCAUGGACACGGGGGGGCUAGUAUAUACCUACAUAUGUGUGAUCAAUUUCGAAAAAAAGAAAAAGAAGAAGGAAUAACAUUGGGUUUGGGUGGGGGUGGGGGGUUUCAAAAGGGACCGAUGAUCUAAUUAACAAAUGAUUUGGAUAUAGCAUGAAUGUGAUCAAGACAUUGUACAAGAACUGGUCCCUGCUGUGAGCCGAAAAGUGUCACCGACGAACACGGACUUGAUUCAUUUUGCACGUCCAAAUAAUUCCAUCCACAAAUUUCACACUGCCAUAGCUUGCAGAUAGAUACAUUGAUGCACCCUCCCAACCUGAAACGCCUACUAUAAAUAAAUAAAUAAAUAAAUAAAACUCUUGAAGGCUUUUAAUAUAUCGGUUAAUAUUGAAUCUUAUAUAGUAUUUAAUUACUGUUUUGAGACACAAAAAAUAUAAAUAAUAAAGACAUAAACGACAUCUAUAUUUUUUCGAUGGUGGAAUUGAGGAUGCAUCAACGAUCCAUCUAUUAUACAUGAGAUGCUACCUCGUGGUCCAAAAAAAGGUUUUGGUAUAUAGUUUUGUCAUAAAAUUAUAUCCCAUGUUGCAUCAUCAAGAGAUCAUCAUGACCAAGUUACAAUGAAAAUACCUAUAAAUAAUUAAAACAAAAAAAAGGGCCGUCGAGGAUCAAAGUCCAUGCUCUCACUCCUUGCCAUGUACAAUACAUUAUGUGGGUUUAUUCUUGGGGCAUCUUAUCAUAUGCUAAUUAAUAUUAAAAUCAUUUGCGAUGGAACAACCUAUCGAUUGCGUUUUCCAUGUGCAAAUGUUGAAUCUUUGCAUUGAAACCUAUUGCAUGUUGACUGUAGCAUUUUGAUCUUCUAACACAAGCAAGCAGCUUCGCAUUGAAAAGAAAACAAAAAUACAGUGUUUAGAAAUUGCAGUUGAAAUUGUAUUUUUUAGAAAAUUAAAGUUUUAGUUUUGUUUAAACUUUUUUAUAUAUAAUUUUAAAUUAUUUUAAUAUGUUGAUAUUAAAAAUAAAAUUUUUAAAAAUAAAAAAAAUAUUAUUUUAAUAUAUUUCCAAACAAAAAAAUAUUUUCAACGAUAAUCAACAACAAACCCUAGAUAGUUGCAAACUACCAAACACUAAGAAAGCAAAAAAAAAAAAAAAAAAGAUAUUUAUCCUUCAUGAUAUCGAUACGGGCAAGUGGGAAUGCAAUUUGGACAAACCCUAGAUAGUCACCAUCUAGCUAGAUUGUAGAACGCAAGCAAACCCAUAAUUAACCAGGCAUAAGUUCAGCAUUAAACGAUGUAACCGUCACAAUUUUCUCUGUUGUUUUACCAGUAACCGACAGCAAUUAAUUCUCAAUUAAAACUAAAUCUUGUCUUCUUGUAACCUCAUUGAAUAUUCGAUAGUUUUUUUUUUUAUAUAUAGAAAUAUGGAGGGAAGGUGGGAUUUACAUCAAAUAGGAGGAUUUUUGUAAUUAUCUCAUAAAGCUACAACAAGAAAUUUGAGUAAUUCAAAUGUUUUUUUUUAUAUCGUGUUCAGUUAAUGUUUUAGGGCAGAUAUAACAUGUAUAAAAAAAAUAAAAACGUGUUUGAUUAAAAAAAUAAAAAUAAAAACAUCAAAUAAAUUUAUUUAUAGAAUAGCUUUGAAGUAAGUUUUUAUACUUUUCAAAUAAAAAAUAUAAAAAGAUAUAUUUCUUUUAUUUUUAUUGUCGUUGUCUUCUAUGUUCCAAAAUAGCAAUCAGAUACAAUGUAUAUUAUUAUUGUUUCAAAUCAAAAAUCAAAUUAUACAAAAAACCCAUUAAUACAUGCAUGCAUGUAUGAUAAUUAAUCUAAAAUCUCAUUGGAAAAAUAUUUAAUUUCAUAUAUAAAAGUUGAUCUAGAAAUUACUGAAAAUGGUUCUGAAAAUACUUUCACCAAACUUUUUUUUUUUUUUUAAAUAGAGAAACUUAGCAUGUGCAUGUAUCUUGAGUAGUUUUGAAAGGAUGUUUUUUAUUUAUUUGAAGGAAAAUGUUUUUGCUUCUAGGAAGCGAGAAAAAUAAAUAAUAAGAUGACAGGAGUUGGUAAAUUACCAGUCAAACCUCGAAAAGAGAAGAAAAUCUAACAGACAAGUUUUGCGGGGGCGGGGCGUGGAUUUCGUGUGGCAUCGAUAGCGUGUGCGCGUUCACAUAAGUAGAAGCGCGUAGCCUCAUCAAACCAACCCCUUACACUUAAAAAAUAUCACUCCUCGUCGGCGCUCGUGGAUUCCUAUUGUGAACCGGUUAUCACCGGUUAAGCUUCCGGUACUCCUUAACCAAACAAUGGCCCCACAAAUAUUGUUCCCAGUUUCCAUGAUCAGACCAGUUUAGUUGUCAAACUUCGUUGAAAAUCGUCUCGAAAAGAUAUUUGAAUUAUUAAAAUCAACUUCCAUAUUACUGAAACUAUUUGAAGACAGACUUUUAGGUCGUGUUUUACAUGUUAAUCAAGUUUAAGUUUAAUAAGAUUAAUGUUUUUUUUAUUAUUAAAUUUUAAACUUGAUAUAUAUUAAAUUCUGAAUUUCUAAUUUUUCAUAUCAUUUUUUUUUUACCGAGUUUAACAAUCAUGACUUUUAUUCAUCAAUAUUAAAUCUUCCUUGACAUAAUGUGAUAUUCGAUUUAAUAUAUUUAUAAUAAUUUUUUAAUUAAAUUUUAAACAAAAUCAUUAUACUCAAAUUAAUAUAUAUUUGAUAUUAUAAUAAUAGUUGCGGUUGCCAUUUGAGAAUAUAAAUUUUUUAAAAAAAUUAUAAACAACAAUUUCUUUCUCGUAAUCAAAUAUUCAAGAGAGAGUUAUAGCGCAGGUGUGAAUUAACCAAACACUUUCAAAAUUGCAACUUUAACAAAAACACAGCUUCAAUCGUAUCACAUGGCUAGCACAAAUGUGAACAAUAUGAACAGAAAAUUAAGUCAUUCGUCACAUGAACCAAAUUGAAAAACACAAAACCUACGAACAACAUGAGUUAGGAGUGAUUCGUUUUCUGUUAGGCAGUCUCCACCAACUCAUAACAGUACAGACGACGGCUACGUUAGUUUCUAGUUCAAGCAAGGUGUGUCUGAAAUGACCCAGUUGUGGUUUUUUUUAUGAGAUUAGUUGUGUUUUUAGGUCGUCGUGGUGGGUGCGGGUCAUGGGAAGCGUUUUUUACGUGCAUUGAUACGCUUUGCAAGUUGUAGUUAGAUAGAGUUUAAUUAGGGUUUCUCUCUGUUGUUUCCAGAAAACAAUAGGAAACAAACGAAGGGUUCGGUUGUGCUCACAUGUAAGUUAUCGUCCGUCUAAAAGUGUUUUGCAAGCUUCAACAUUGAUGGGAUCAUGCAUGGCAAUUUAAAAAAUUCAAUAAAUUACGUGAUCUUCUGUGUUUUAUGUCCAUCCCAUUGCAUUUAAAACAAAUAAAAACCAUAUAUUAUGUGUUAUGAUUAAAUGCUAACAUUAUUACUGUGUUGAUAAAUUACUUAUUAACUCAUCGAGUAAUUAUUAUAUAAUUAAUUUGAAUCGAGUUAUUUUUAUUUUCUAUAAAAAAAUUUAUUUUUUAAUUAUUUUAAAAAGAAUAAAUAUAACUUUCUUGCUUACCAAAUUUAUAUUUUGCUAGUAAUGUUCAUAUUAAUAAUGAUAAAUAAAGAAAAUUCUCAUAUUUUGCAACCCAAAAUCUACAUGGAAUGUACUCAUUUGACUGCAACAAGAACAUGUAGUGCAAGGAAAAUAUUGCUUGCCUUUGGAGUUUAACCGUGUUUUUUUAAAAAAAAAAAUUAAAAGUUUUAAAUUAAUAUUUUUUAUUGUUUUUAAUUUUUUUAAAAAUAACAAUUUAAAAAGCAACUUUUACGAUAGUAUAUAGAACAAGAGUUGGGCAAGGCAAACUGUAUGAACAGGUGGCAAAUCUGGUUUGUGAUGCGAACGCGUGUACAGAAUGAGAGGCUAGGAUUCUAUUUCAAGAAAAGAGAUUAUAAGAAAAAGGUUGUAGUUUUCUAGUUUGCUAAGGUUUGCCCACACGCAACCCAUAAUGAAAUGUCAAAAUUCAACUUUACCACUGACUUGGUUUUAGUGCGAGAAUGCUUGUUUUUCACAUCGUUUUGCGCAUGCCAUGAACGCCCUUCUUGAAGAAUUAAAAAGGAUAAAUGUAUUUUUAUCUAAUCGGUUUAGCUUAUUAAAUUAAAAUAGUUUUUAAAUUAAAUUGAUUAUAUAAGAUUUUUAUUAAUACGAAUAAUUAAUUUAAUAAAUUUUAAAAUUAACAAUCAUAUAAACUUUCAAUGGUUAUGAACGUUUUUUAUAAAUUUUUUAAAAAAUUAUUUUUAUUUAAUCGGUUUAAACUCGUUGAAUUAAAUUAGAUUUUAAAUCAAAUUAAUUAUAAAUUUGAUUUGAAAAAACAUUAAUUUUUUUUAAAAAAAACAACAAUGUUUUAAAUAAUUAAAAAAAGGGGGGUUAACCGCUGAUCUAUAAAUUGAUCAUCCACUCGUCCAACCUAACCACCUUGAGCUAGAUCACUGGUGGGCUGCGUCUCUUAACUGUGGUCCAUGAAUUGACAAGAAAAUCAGAAUAAACUCGAGCGUUUUUUUAUGACCAUGGUUGACCUAACUCUCACCUCUUCCGAGCACGAAGGGUUCCUCGUCAAAUGGGUCAACAAUAAGACAUGGUGUUGCAAGAGUAAUCGGCAAGAAUUUAACAUUUGUCAAGAUUAUAAAUUGCUUUUUAAUCAAUAGUGUAUGGAUUCAAGAGCAAUACAAGUAAAAAUAUUUAUAUUUCUUCUUUGGUAUGAUUCUCGAUCAAACAAAUUUCCAAAAUUAACAAAGAAUUUCAAGUUCUUAUAUUAUUCUAAAAAUAAAUUAAUUAGGGCAGCGCCUAACCCUGUAAUUGAUACACAUUAAAUUCAUAAAUUAAUUGUUCCAGUACCAAAGUGGAUUAAUUUAUUCUAAAGAUAGAUGCCCAAAUUGAUUUUUUUUUUAAAAGAAAAAAGUAUUGGAAAUGGCUUAAUCUUGAAGCCAAAUGAAACAGUUGUGGCGGGGAUCCCCUUUAGGGCCACCGUUUUAUUAGCUAAAAUACUUUUAAAAUGUGUCCCUCAUGGAUGGCAAUGUCCUUCUCAAUUGAUAAACAAGUCCUUCUCACGAGAGGGAGCAGCCAUCUAAUUGAUAAACAGCUAUUUUAUACAUUCUCCUUUUAAAAAAUAAAAUAAUAAUAAUUAUGAACCGUUUUGUAAAAAUAUAGAUUUGCUAUUCACCCAAUAUUAGCUUAACUUAUAUAAAAUAAUUUUAUUAUAGUUGUUUGUUUUUUAGUAUACUGUAUUGAGACUAUUGAAUCUAACCCGAUUUAUAGUCCUCGUCAUGAGUUAGAUGGAUAAACUCAUGUUAAUUCAAAGAAAGAAAAAAGUUAAAUUGAGUUUUGAGUAAAAUUACCGUGUUGCAAUAACUUGUCAUAUAAUCUAGAUUUGAUUUGAUUAACUUUUACUUGUUUUUUUAAAUAUUAAAUUUCGGAUCAAUUUAUGAAGCCGAGGUAAAUUUAAUAAUACUGGAUAAUAGUUUUUCAUUAAGUAUUUCAAUGCAUGGAUGAUAAUGAUUCUUGAAGAUUAAUUUUAUUUAAAGAUAAAGGGUAUUUGAUGUUUCAUCUAAAUAAUUCUAUGAUCAAAGUGUUGAGACCAAACUUUCGAUGUAUGUCAUACGUCGUGUCUUAAUUAUGAUGACCGUGACCACAUAUUUUUCUCUCAGCGAACAAGGAUAAAUGUGUUAAAUGUCCUAUCAAUUAGUUGCAAAUUAGAUCAAUUUAUUAAUUGGAAUAAAAUUGCUUAAGUUGCAGAAAAAAUAAUAUUGGUGUUAAUGCAGAUUGCACGCGUGUACCAUCUACUCAUAUGAUCAUCUUCACCUGUUUUCACACAGUAAUGUUUAUCGAGCAUUAAAGGUGUCGUGUUUUUUGCAUUAAAGAUGACCUGAAAAGUUAGCAGUGGGCUAUGAAAGCAAAAUAUCUACUGUCCCUCUUCUUCAUAAACUUUUAUCUCCUCUGCUCACUUACCUGUUUCUCGAUCAAAGCCAGCUUUCUGUAAGGAAAGAGAAAAAAAAAAAAAAAAACAAUGAGCAUCCAAGUUCAAGAGUCUGUGUCCUGUAAGCAAAGAUGGGUGGAUAAGAGGGUAGUGAGACGGAGAGAGAAGCAUACUCUUUAGAACUCGGAUUUCCGUGAUAGGGUAGUGAGCUGUGGUAUUUUAUUAUCAAUUAUAAUUUUAUGUUUAUUAACGUUUGUAUAUGAGUCAACUUAUAUAUAUCUCGACUGACCCUACUACUUUGAAAUACAACCAUGGAAAUUUUUAGUGAUUAUUAUAUUACAACUACAUUACUUAAACUAAAAAUCACAGUAAAAACAAACACUUGAUUCCAAGCUUUUAUUAUUGUAACACUUACUAUAUGGUUAUUAUUAAUUAUCAAUAUUUAAUAUAUAUCAUGGGUGUAUAUAAAUAAUAUUAAAAUUCUCUCUUGAAAAUUUAAUAUGAAAAAGUUAUAAUUUAUUGUUUUCCUUCUACCUGUAUAUUUAGACAAUGUAUAGAUGUGAUGGAGGUCAUUCUAAGCAUUUGAGUGGUGAUGAGUAUAGUAUUUUAAAUAUUUGGUCAGCUGAAUUAUAUAUUCAAACCUUUGAAAAAAAAAACAAAAAGGAAAGGAAAAGAAAAGGAAAAAACUUGUGAAAUGUUACCAUGUUACCUGGAAGUUUGGAAGACAGAUCUGUUAUGAUUAAUUUUUCUUAUAAAAACUUUAAUAUGCUCGAUCUAUUCAAUGGAAAGAUGGGAGUUAUAAUAUUAUUUCAGUAAUGGUUUUUCACUUUCCCGUGUGCUUAUAAAACCCAAUAUGAGUCAUGGUGUAGAUGAUAAAUUUAGGUUGAUCUUAUAUUUAAUAUAAUCAAAAUAACAUUAUUUUUAUUUAAAAACUAAAGAAAAAUUAAGGAUCGGGUUCGGGUCACCAUUUUCAGUAUUUUUUUGUUUGUUAAACUUGGAUCAAUUGAGACUCUAAUAUAGCGAAUCUUAGAGUAUAAUAUAGUUGUUUUUUAAAGUUUUUUUUAUUUUAAAAUAUAUUAAAAUAAUCUAUUUUUAAAUUUUUUUAAAAAUAAUUUUAACAUCAAUGUAUUAAAGUGAUCUAAAAAUAUAUAUAAAAAGAUUAAUUUAAAAUAAAAAAAUAAAAAAAAAUUAAUUUUUUUUAAAAACAUUUUUAAAACUUAAAGUAAUUAAGACUCUAGUUUAACGAAUCUUAAACUAGCCAGCACAACCUCUUUAGUUUCGAUAACAAAGUAAGUUUUUUCAAUGAAGGAACAAAAUUUGUCACUUCUAUGAAUUAAAAAGGUACCAAAUCCUUGUAAAAACUAUUAAAUAAUAAAAAUAAUAUUAUUUUUAUUAAAAAAUUAAAAAUAAUCAAGAAUCGGGUUCACGUCAUCUUUUUUUUUAUGGUGUUAAAAUCAUAGCAGUUUAGACUUUUAUUUUUUAAAAUUAAUAUGUUUUUUUAAUGUUUUAAGAUAUUUUAAUAUACGGAUAUUAAAAAUUAUAUUUAAAACAUAAAAAAAUUAUUUUAAUAUAUUUUUAAAUAAAAAAUCUUUAAAAACCAUCAUGGUCCUAAACAGACAAUUCAGCCGUUUUAUAACAAAGUUUUCCCAAGAAAGGAAAAUAAAAAUGUCACCUUUGUGAAUUACAAAGGUACCAAACUCUCGUAAAAUCUAAGAUUUGCGUUGAAGAAGUAAAAAGAGAAAAGGUUGGGCUAUAAAUUCAUAUCCAAAUUCAUAAUUGUUGGUCUAUCCAAUCCUUGAAAGCCAUAUAUAGCUGUCAAUCAACGUUUAUUUUUUUUAACUAAAAGAACAAAUUAAUUAAAUAGCCAAAAGCAAGGAAAUGGCCAGCUUUUUUAUUGUUUUUGAAAUUCUCUGUGUUAAUGACCGACACCUGUGAGUAAUCAACCGGGAAUAAACUUGGUUUUAAGACAAAACAGCUGCUACAAUCAAGGUUGUCAAUUCCGUUCCGUUCCGCCCGGAAUGGCCGAAACAUUCCAUACCAAUUCAAAAAACGGAACAAAACGGAACAAAUUUCAUCUCAUUUUAAAUCUCGGCCCGUUCCGGAAAUUCCGGCCAAAUUCCGGCCGAAACGUUCCGGUUUCAUUCCGGUUGUUCCGUUUCGGCCAAAAAAUAUUAUUUUAAAAAAAUUAAUAUAUGAUUUAUAUUAUUUUAAGUUAAAGAUCUAUUUAAUCUUUACUAUUUAAAAAUAUUUUAAAUUUUAAAAUUAUAUUUGUUUGGCAUUAUGUUUGUAUUGCAUAAUUUAUAAUUAAUUUAUCUUGAAUUUGAAUUAUGUUUGUGGAAUAUAUAUAUAUAUAUAUAUAUAUGAACAGUACAACCCCGAAACGGCACGCCGAAACACUCCGAAACCGAAACAUUUCGUUCCAAUUAAAAAAACGAAACACCUACCGAAACGGAAUUGACAACCUUGGCUACAAUUUGGAAUCAGGGGGACCCGAAAGGAGAAAAUUUGAAACUAACGGCUCAGUUACCGAAACCUAGCUCAAAGCUCUUCCUUGUUGUGGCACGUGUCCGAUAAGUCAUUUUCGCUUGCCGUUCUGGGUUGCAUUUCUUAGGGUUAUUGUCGUUCGCUUUUUAGAACAGGUCGUAACUGUCCUGUCAGGUGAUCACUGCCUCCUCCCCGUAUAAAAAGAUCAUCUACUUCACACAAGUUCCAGGUUUAUCAUCACGUUCUUAACAAAAGCGCGUGUCCACUCUCCUAGGAGCCCGGCUAUGUACUAGGAGUCUACGACAUGACACGUGUACACAUAAUUAUUAAAUUAUCUUAUUCAAGAUAUAAAUAACAAAUUUGUCAAGACAACAGAAACUAAGAAAAAAAAAGUGUGAAUCUUCUGUCUUAUAAUUCAAAGGAUAUAAGCCCUAGAAUGAAAAAGAAAUGCCCCUUUUAUAGGAUGAAAAAGAAAUGUAAAAAUGACAUGCUACCUAAUUUUUUUCUGUAAACUUAAAAUUUUAUUUUAAAUUUUCUUUCAAUGUUAAAUUUAUUUUUAUUUGAAUAGUCUUAACAAUUUUUCUUUCAAUGUUAAUUUUUCCCUUAAAAUCCUUUCAAAUAUUUAUUACUAGAUAAAUAAAUAAAAAUACUUAUCGAUCAUUCUAAACUUAUAUCAUAAAUUACCAUAACUAGAUAAAUAUGAUAAUAGUGAAAAAUAUUUAUCAACGAAGAGAUCAAUCCGAGUUGAUUAUUUUUAAUAAAAUAAUAUUUUUUUAUUUUUUAAAAAAUAGUGAUGACUUGAUUAAGUUCGGACUAGAUUUUGUUAAGUGAACCUAUUUGCUAAAUUUUUGAUAAGAUUAAUCAAGUCUUUCCAAUUAAUUUCUAAUCUAAUUCAGUUAAAAAUUUAAAUUUAGAUCAGGUUUCAGUUUUCCAGUUAAUGUAGUAUUUGAGAUUAUAAUAAUAAUUUUUUUAAAAAUUUAUUUUUGAUAUAACGGAUCAAAACGAUUUAAAAUCAUAAAAAAAUAAAUAAUUCAAAAGUAUUUUUUGAAUGCAAAAAAAAAAACACUCUAAAAGCUAAUUUAUUUAUACAUUUUAAAAAAUUAAUUUUAAUUUUAAUUUUUAUUUAUUUUUAGAUCAUUUUAAUAUACUAAUAUUAAAUAAAAUUAAAAUAUUUUUAAAAAUAUCUAUUAUCGUAAUAGUACCGAUUACCAAACAUGCUAGAAACCUAAUCAUCGGCAUGAAGAGUUUAAUAGGAGAAUUGAAAAACACGCACUCCUAACAAGCGUAGAUAAUGUCCUACUAACUCCACGCGAACAAAGAGUAUGUUCCAUCUCAAUUAAUCACCGUUGAUUUUCAAGAAACAGAAGAAAUCAAGCGGUGACAUUCUCCGUUAUAUUCUAUCAACAAUCAUUUCACCCUCAUAAGAGAAACUCUCUCGCUCUCUCAUACACUCGCUUUUCCCCAUAAACAAACCUCCCCCAUAAUGCGUUUCUCCCUGUGACCCUCCAAGAAAACAAGAAAGGGGUUCUUGGAAAAACUCAACUUCUCAUGGCCUCUGGGUUUUCAGGCGGCGGCGGUGGCGGUGGCGGUGGCGGUGGCGUCCAAGAUUUCUACACCAAUAGAUCACCUAUUAUACCCACCAUGAACCUAACAAAUAACCACCACAACCCAUCAUCACUGCCUCCUUAUAGAACCAACCAAAUUUUUCUUGACCAGAAUUUGUCUUCUCAUAAUUACCAACAGAUCGCUCAACAUAGAGCAAUCUUUCCCACAACCACCGCUACCACCACCUUGAUCGGCAAGCGAACGCUUGCCGAUUUUCAAGCAUUUCAACAAUCACCACCGCAACAAAACCUGCUAAACCAAGCAGCACUGAACAAUCUUCUUCUCCGGUCUGUAAAGCCGAGGAUUAAUAACAAUUUUUUCCAACAAAACACGUCUCCGAUUUCCACUCUUGAUUUCUCUGUUAGCAACCUGUCUCCUGAGCUCCCUUCCUUAAUGUCUCAACGUUACGGGGUCCCUCUUCUUCAACAGCUUCGACCCCAACACCAACAACAUCAGCAGCAGCAGCCCAUGAAUCUAAUUAGUCCUGUUGGUAUCAUCAACAACAACAGAAGCAGCAACAACAGCAUGAUGCCGUAUGUGAAUAUGUUACAGAAUCAAAACGGAGGAGGAAAUGGAAUAGUUAUGGGCCAAGAUCGGGAUAAAAAGAUGCUGAACCAGCUUCAAGAACUGGAAAAACAGCUACUUGACGACGACGACGACGAUAACCAAGAAGGUGAUGCCGUCAGUGUUAUAACGAACACAAACAGUGAAUGGUCUGAAACAAUACAUAAUCUCAUCACCUCUUCUUGUAAUAAUCCGAUUUCUCCAUCACCCACUUCAUCAUCUUCAUCCUCAUUUUCAACUGUCACAACUCCGGUUUCGAAACAGACAGUAAUCGAAGCAGCAUCAGCAAUUUACGAAGGUAAAACUGAUGUUUACACUGAGAUCUUGACUCGUGUGUCUCUGGUUUCGAGCCCAGGAGGGAAUUCUGAGCAGAGAUUGAUUGAGUACAUGUUGAUGGCUUUAAAAUCCCGGCUUAAUUCUCCUGAAAACACUUCUGUAAUGGAGCUGUAUAGCAAGGAACAUGUGGAUGCAACCCAGCUGUUAUACGACCUGUCUCCUUGUUUCACACAUGGUUUCACGGCUGCCAAUCUUGCCAUCAUUGACGCUACAAGAGAGCAAGAACAAGAGGCGAACACUUCAAGCAAUGGCUUUCAUGUUGUUGAUUUUGAUAUUGGUCGUGGAGGGCAAUACGUGAACCUUCUACACGCGCUUUCUGGGCUUAAGAAUUCGAAGCCAGCCAUUGUUAAGAUCACAGCCGUUGCUGCUGAUAGCAAUGGUGUAGAGGAGGAGAGGCUGAGGCAAGUUGGUGAAAUGCUUAGCCAACUCGCUCGUCGAGCUGGUCUGAAUUUGUGUUUCAACGUUGUGAGCUGCAAACUCAGUGAGUUGACUCGGGAGUCCCUCAGGUGCGAGCCGGACGAGGCAUUGGCUGUCAAUUUUGCGUUCAAGCUGUAUAGAAUGCCGGACGAGAGCGUGUCCUCCACCGAGAAUCCCAGGGAUGAGCUUUUGAGGCGCGUGAAGGGGUUGGCGCCGCGCGUGGUGACUAUAGUGGAGCAAGAAAUGAAUACCAACACGGCCCCAUUCAUGGCGCGCGUGAACGAAUCCUGUUCAUAUUACGGAGCGCUAUUCGACUCGAUUGAGUCAACGGUUAAAGGGGAUAACUCGGAGCGAGCCAAGGUCGAGGAGGGACUGGGGCGGAGGAUAGUAAACUCGGUUGCUUGUGAAGGGAGGGACCGUGUUGAAAGAUGCGAGGUGUUUGGAAAAUGGCGGGCCCGGAUGGGCAUGGCAGGGUUCGAGUUAAAGCCUCUGAGUCAAAACAUAGCCGAGUCGAUGAAAACGAGAUUGAGUUUAGCAAACAGAGGUAGCCCAGGAUUUAGUGUUAAAGAAGAGAAUGGUGGGGUAUGUUUCGGUUGGAUGGGAAAAACUCUCACAGUCGCAUCUGCUUGGCGUUAACUUCACUUUCUUUCUUUUAUAUUAUUAUUAUUAUUGCUGUCGUUAUUAAUUGUUUAGUGUUAUUGUUAAAAUAUAUGUAUACUUUUUUUUAGUAUUAUUUUAACCUCUUUUUUUGGCUUAUGAGAAUGGAAAGAAAAUCCACCAAACAAAAUAAUAUAAAAGGAGUGUUUGGAUGAAUUCGAGGAAGGAAGAUUCUCUUCAUUUGCAUUUAUUAUUAUUAUUAUUAAAUAUGAGGGGUGUGUGUGUGAAGGAAUCUAUGUGUUUGGUGUUAUUUGCUUACACUUGUGUGAUUUAGUUUGAUUGCUUUUUUAAAUCAAUGAUAUUUUAAUAGAGGGGAAUUGCUAGGUAUAGUUAAAAUCAUAAUAAAAGGGUUUGAACUUUCUCAAUUGCCCAUAGUGUUUGUCGCCCAAAUUAUUAAAUUUGGCUUGUUAUAAUACUUCAUGGGUUGAGUGAUAUGAAACAAGUUAAUUAAAAACGGUGUAAUGAAACUGGCUAGAUGAUUGAUUGAUUUGCUGGGUUUAUUGGAUUUUGAUUAGUUUAUUUUUCAUUUAAUUUAAUUUGAAAUAUAGCUCAAAUUAGUUUUCGAAACAACUAUUUAUUGAUUUGCUGUGUUUAUUGGAUUUUGAUUAGGUUAUUUUUCAUUUAAUUUAAUUUGAAAUAUAGCUCAAACUAGUUUUCAAAAUAACUAUUUAUUGAAUUGAUUUAUUGGAUCGGUUUUAUUUGUUAAUUUUUAUUUAAUUUAAUUUAAAAUAUAACUCAAACUAAAUUUCAAAAUAAUUCUUUAUUGGAUUGACUUGUCAGGUUGUAUCGGUUUUAAUAAUACCAUUCAUAAAAUGAUUUUUUUUUUUUAGUUUACAUUAAUGUCUUUUUUGAUAGGGAAUUGUUUUUUGUUUGAGUUUUUUUUUUUUAAGAAUAGAUCUCUUAAUAAAUGAGUUUAAUAUUUUUUUAAAGUGGUAUAUGUUUAUUGGAUUUAAAAUGAUUAAGUACUUUGGUUAAGAUGCGGAUAUUUAUUGGUAAAGAAGACGAAGAGAAAGAAGAACGAAGGAUGGAGCAUUCACACUAUUUGUAGGUUACGUGUUGUGUACCCAUUAAUUAUAUACAUAUACUAUGCAUACAUAGCAAUCAUAUAGUAUCUCCAAUAAUUAAAUUGAUAUCAUAUAAGUGAUUGAAUUUCCAUAAGCAAAUAAAAUUUCCUUAAUAUAGCUUUUAUGAUAUGAAUAAUUGUAAGAUAUGAAUAAUUCAUUGCUAUAAUCCAUCGGGAAAUCUUAGAAAUGAAAUUACAUUUUUUAGUGUUAUAGUUAUUUAGUUUUGCGUUUUAAAAGUUUUUUUAUAAAAAUAAAUUUUUUAUUUGUUUUAAAUUAAUAUUUUUUAGUAUUUUCAGAUCAUUUUGAUAUACUGAUAUAAAAAUAAUUUUUUAAAAAUAAAAAAAAAUAUAUUAUUUUAAUGCAUUUAAAAAUAAAAAUAUUUUAAAAAGUAAUCGUUAUCAUCAUUUUAAAUGCCCUCUUAACCAAGAAGAUUAUUCAAUGAUUCACUCUCACAUUCAUGUGUAGAUGAGAGUAGAACUUGAUGAUUUCUUACAAAAUUUGAGCUACGAGAGAUUCUUUUUUGAAUUAUUGAGGUCGAGAUUGAUGGUGUGUGUUGUUUUUCUUUAAAAUUCACAAAGAGGUUGGAGGAGGACAAGGGAAUUUUUUAAACUAUUUUGGCACCUAAGAUUAGAAACAUCUAUCCAUACUUUAAGAUGAAAAGACAUCAUCAAGUGAGGGGAACUGCAAACCUUUGCAACCAUAACCCCGAAUUCAGUGUUUCAAAGUGACAUUUGUUCUUUUCAAGCACGAACAUGAAUCAAUAAUUAUUAGUGAUUAUAAUUUCAAUGGAAACUGAUGGAUAUUGUCCGAACCAACUCGAAUGAAUUGGAAAUUUUGACUCGAUUUGAUUUAGACAAAACUGUAAGAAAAAACUGUGUGUUAGGUUAGUAUGUAUACAUACCUGCCCAACUCGAAAUAAAUAAAUAGUUUUAAAGCUAGAAAAAUUUACAUGUUAAUUGGAACCAAAUAGAUAUAAAUUAUAACAUUUAAGUUCAGGUCAUGGAUACUUGAUAGAUAUCUAAAACCCUAAUAAUAUCAAUUUUAAAUAUAAAAAAAUCCAUAAUCAAUCAGGUUUAUGAUGCUUUGAAUAGUUAUUUUGAGUUUAAGUAUAAAUAAUAAAACUCGAUCUAUGAUACCCCUCUAAAUCAAUCAUCGCAGAUCUCAUUUUUUAUUAAAAAGAUUAUAGAUGAUGCUAAGUUCAUUAUAUAAAAAAUUUCAUUCCCACUGCCUUCUCUUUUCUAUUUUUUAAUUACUAAUAUAACUGAAUAUCGUCUCUGCAGAACACUCGGACUCACCUUCAAUGAUCAAUCACUCAAUGCUUAUUGACACCAGCAAAACGUGUGAUGCACAAGUUGCACUCUUCUCCAGAGAAAAACCCUAAUAAAUGCAUAAUAAUUCGAGUUGUCAUCGAAGGUUUCACACACAUGGCUGUGGCUAAACAGUUACUAUAAGUGACCCUAAAAUGGGAAAGGAAACAGAUGCUUUUUGAAAUGAGCAGGAAAAAAAAGAAGAACAAAAGAAUACAACUGACAUUAGAAUUCCAUUAGCUCCACCAAUUGUGUGAAAUUUGAAGUAAAUGGGAGUAUAGGACAUACCACCGAAAUGUUAUUAAACUCAAUUGUAUAUUUAAUUAAUCAUGUGAAUUGCGUGACUUGAAAUGAUUUUAAAAUUUAAUUAAUUAAGAUUUGAUUUGAUUUAAUUUUGGUUCAACUCGAUCGACUUGACAUGUUAAUUUGCUGUGACUUGAUUAAGACUUUGUAAUUUAUUUUGAAAAUCAUGUUGUUUUAAUUUCUUAAAAUAAAAAUAAAAUUACUACACUGUAUUAAGUAGGUGUAAAAUAAAGAAAAUUAUCAAUGGUGUCCAUAGAUGGUUGGAUUUGACGGGCUGAAUAGAUAAUCACAAACAUGUCACCAAAAAGCAUGGUAGAACAACCAUGCCAUGAGAUCAAAGUCACUUUACACAAUAGUAAAGUCAAAACCCUUUUUUUGUCUCUUAAUAUUUACAUUUUUAUUUAAACUUUAUAAUAAAGUUGUGGUACUUUUUAUCCCUUUUCAUCCAGUGGCACAGCAUGAACGAGUGUCACCCGGCUCUUGUUGGUCUCGAUGCUCUUAAUAGUGAAAAUUAUUUCAAGAGCAUUUAAUUCAAAGAAAAAAAGAUUUUAGCUCAAAUCUCAAUUUUCUCCCCCUUUUAGUUCCUAAAUCCGAUCCACCCGAUAAGUUAUUCUGAACAAACAACUCGUUAUCUCGGUCUGGAAUGAGAUUUUAAAUUAAAAUUUAAAAAAUAUAAAUUAAUUAAUCCAAUCAGACUGAUGUGAUCAAUUUGAUGAAUUUUUUUAAAAUAAAAUAACAUCAUGAAUAAAUAUAUUUACGAGAUAAUCCAAUGAACUAAAUUCUUUUUUUGGAGGUACGACAAGGAACAACUAGGCUUCCUAGCACUCUAAAAAAGGAAAAAGAAAAGGAAUAAAAAACAUGUCUUCUCCUAGCUUAGGCAGGAUGGGAUCCCAUAUAUGAAAAUGGUUUCAUCGGAGGCCCAAGCCCAUAACUAUCGCACAAGCUCAAGACUGUAGCCACUGGGCCAGGCCUUGUACAUUUCAAGCCCCAACCAAGAAAACCUGCCGAAGGAAUCUAGGCCUAGAAAAAUAAGAAAUGGAUCCUAAUCCAUCCUUGGAAUACAUUUAUUAUUUUGGAUUUUUAGUUUCAAAUUUAUUUUGUAUUGGAUUGAGAAAAAACAAUGCCUACAGAUUGAUGUUGUGUCCAAAUCUAGGAGGGUUGUCGUAAAUAAAUUAGUAAAUAUUGUUUUUAUUUUUUAUUUUUGUGAUAAAUAUAUUCUCAUGCUAGCUAGCUUGUGUAUAAACUAUUCAUGGAAAAUUCUAAACACAUGAUAUAUUUUAUUUAGAUGAAUUUAAUAUGUGUUUUUUAGAUAAUAAUCUAAAUUUUAAAUUUAAUUUAGUUGACAUAUAAACUAAUCCAAAAAUAUUCUUUUAAUUAAACUAAAAAAUUUUAUGUCAAAACCAGUCAUUAAGCUAUGACGUGAUGCAUGCAUGUGGCAAUUUGUUUUUAACCCAAAAGGUUACGAGGAUCUCCUCGGCUUUAAGGGAUCUCAUCUCAUCAUAACCAUUUAGUUAGGGUUUAUGAUAUUCUUACAGGGGGAGGAAAUCUUGAUGCAUAAUCGAGUAUCAAUAUUUUGUUUUAAUUAGCUCGAGGGUUAACUUUGCGACAAAUUUGUGAUUGGGGUCAAGAGUUUUGCUUUUAGGAUCUAUAUGAGUCAUUUUGUAAGUUAUAGGACCAGAAUGUAUACUUUAUGGAAAAACAAAAACCUCAUCUUCUUCAAAUAUAUAUAUUUUUAAUUUUUUUAAAAUAUUUUUGAAACAUAAAUAUGAUCUAAAAUUAGUCCCUGUUUGUUUGCUGGAAAGUAGUUUUUUUUUGGAAAGUGAAUUUCGAAAAAGUAAAUUCCGGGAAAGUGAAUUAUUUUCCAAUAUUUGGUAAUGUAAUGAAAAAUAAGUUGAAAAAUAUUUUUCAGUGUUUGGUUAUGUCAUGGAAAAUGAACUAGAAAAUAACUUAUUAAUAUUUUUUUCCUCAAGUUUAUUAAACUAACGAGGAACAAAUCUUACAAAUUAAAAAGUUAAAUGAGAAUGAAAUUGAAAAAAAAAAUCAUAAAUUAUAUCAAAUAAAAUAAAUAAUAAUCAAAAUAAUAGAGAUAAAAUCUAAAAAAUAAAAAAAAUGAAAGAUGAAGAAAUUAAAAUAAUAAUAAUUAACAUCUCAUAAAUUAUUUGAAAUAAAAUAAGUAACAAUCAAAAGAAUAAGGACCAAAUUUGAUAGAUAAAAAAUUUCAAUAAAAAAAUGAUAAGGAAAAAGUUUGAGAGAUGAAAUUAAAAAAUAAAUAUUCAAAAUAAAAUAUAUAUAGCAAUCACAAGUUUGAGGAUCAAAUUUGAUAUAAUCAACAAAUAAUAUGACAUUUCUAAAUUUUUCACAACUUCCGGAUAGUGUUUUCUGCUCAAAUUUUCUAAAAAAACACUUUCUUGAAAACUAAGCUAUAUUUUUUUAAAACUAGAAAGUGUUUUCUGUUAAUUAACUUUUAUAAUAGCAAACAAACACAGAAAAGUUUGGAAAGUGAUUUUCGACCACUUUCCAGGAACAAACAUAGCCUUACCUUAAAAAAAAAAAAAAAAAAAACCCACAGAAAUGGGAUCAUAUGUUGAUUAACUUUUAUUAGGACGUGAUGCAUGUACGUGGCAAUUUUGUUUUUUAACCCAAAUGGUUACGAGGAUUGGCUUUAAAGGGUCUAUAUGAGUCAUUUUCUAAGCUAUAGGGACUAGAAUGUAUACUUUAUGGAAAAACAAAAACCUCAUCUCCUUCAAAGAUAUUUACAUAGUAAUCCAGAUCUAUAAAAUUAAUAGUUUAUUUAUUAUUCUUUUUUUUUUAAAUAAUAUAUUUUUAAUUUUUUAAAAAUUAUUUUUAAUAUCAGUGUAUUAUCAUGUUUUAAAAAUAUUAAAUAAAUAUUAAUUUUAAAUGAAAAAAAUAAUAAAAUAUUUUUAAGUUUUUUAAAAAUAUUUUUAAAACUUUAAAAAACUAUAUGAUCUAAUUAAAUUACCUAAAACAAAAAAAAACCCACAGAGAUGGUAUCCUCUCUUGUACUCCCCUCACCAACCUCCCUCUUCUCCUCUCCCUCCCUCCCUCCGCAGCAAACUUUCCAUCCUUCCACCAUGAACAGCCGCCUUCUCUUCUCAAACUGCAUGCAUAAUCCACAACUGAAAACCCCAUCAAACAAACAAACCAUGACCAAACUACAAUCACUCCUCGGUCUCUAAGACUUCAAUGCUUGGUGUCUUGACAACAUUGCUAAUGCUGAACUUGCAGAUUAUGGUCCGGUUUGUGGUACCAUGGUUACUCGUCCCUAUGGUUAUGCCAUCCGGGAAGGCGGGAAGCCAUUCAGGUCCUUAAAAUCCGAGCUUUUUAGUUGAAAGUAGAUAAUUUUGAGAUUUUUUUUUAAUGGAAUGUUGAAAGUUUUGAGCUUUUUCUGGGUUUUGGCAUUGCAGGAUUAUUCGAAGGUGAAGUUUAAGGAGACUGGACAUAACAACGCGUACUUUCCUCAAGUUUGUUUUGUGGGGUAUUUAUUUAUUUGUCUGUGGAAUGCUAUAAAUGCAGUGUUGUGAUUGAGUUGAGGUUUUGAGUUGAGUGGAGUGUUAUGAUCCGUGUUUGGUUUGUUUAGGUAGGUUGAAAAAGGGUCCGAGGUUAACUUUGAGUUAAGAAAGUACUCAAGCUCGGUUUGUUCACUUUUUUAGUAAGUCUAGGUUUAUGCUGAGGAUAUAGUGACAAAACGACUAAGGAACUUAAACAAUUUAUCAUCUAAGGAUUAGUUUGUAGUUUUUGUUUUAUUAGAAAUACAGCAAAGUGGUAUGCCUGAAUAUAACUUUUCCCAAAAUCAAUUCUUAAAGACACAUUCUGUGGUCAUGGACACUUUGAGCUGAGUAUUCUAUUGUUUGAGUUUGUUUGUGAAUGAUAUUGAAUUUGAAUUAUGGGACUAAUUUGCUUUUCUUUUUUUGUGUAUGAUGUUUUUAUGAGACAAAUCAGAGCUGAGCUCAAGUAGCAUGGUUUGUUUUUACAACUGAAAUUGCAUGUGUGUGUUCUUGUGGAUGGACUUUGUUUGAGUUUGUCUUUAAUUCUUGUGCUGGUAUUUGUGUGCUGUAGUUUAUACCAAUACUCAUUUAUUGAGAAAGAAGCUAGUCAUGUUGAGGGGUUCAGUCCAGAACUGGCUCUUGUAACUAUCACGGGAGGAAAGGAACUUGAAGAAAAACUUGUGGUAACAUUUGAUUUUUUCUAGUCUUGGAAAUUUAAGGGUUGAUGAAAAUGUUAUGUUGUUUCAUUUUCUUGAAAAACAAUGACCUGAGUUUUGGCUUUGAUUGUUGCACUUGCUGAAGUUGUGGCAGGUUUGACCCACUAGUGAAACCAUAGUGAAUCACAUGUUUACUCAGUGGGUUCAUAGUUAUCGUAUCUUCUUGUCAAGGUAAACCAUGUAAAAGUUUGGUCACCUGUAGCGAAUAGCUUCCAGUCAUGGAGGGUUGUUAUGUACAACUUGUUUUUUCCCCUUCCCCUUCCUAUUAAUAUUUUGUUUUCUGUUUUAGUGGGUAAAUAUCACAAGAUCAGAGAUGCGCACAAAACCAUUUGUGAGGACUCUUGAAUUUCUGUGGCAGGAGGGUCACACAGCUCAUGCCAAUCCAGAGGAGGCAGAAAAUGAGGUUUGCAUCAUAUUGAGCUGUAGUAUGCUUGAUAUAUGAUAGCGUACUAGCAUUUGCAUUAAAUGGAUUUGCGCUGCUGAAUCGCAGGCAUUCCAGAUGAUCGACGUCUAUACAAAAUUCACUUAUGAGCAAGCUGCAAUACCUGUUAUUACAGGUAGAAAAUCAAAAGUGGGAACUCUUGCUGGUGCUGAUAGGACAUGUACAAUAGAGGCUAUGAUGGGUGAUCAGAAGGCAUCACAAGCUGGAACUAAUCACAGUCUUGGGCAAAACUUUUCUCGGGCUUUUGGAACGCAGGUAUUUUAGUCAAUAGUUUCGAGAUAAGAUUAUUUCACACACUUUAUGAGUUGCUGCUUGCUGAGUGUUUUGUUGCUCUAUUUCUCGCAUGAUAUGCAAAGAAAAGCCAACAGCAUAAUUUUGAAAAUAUAUUUUAUUAAUUAAAUCCUUUUUAGUGAAUUAUCAGCUAAUUCCUGUGGAUAAAUAUAAUGAAAAUCAAUACCCCUUUGGUUUACAUGACCAUCACCUACAAUGGUUUUUUUGAAAGCAUGGUUAUGGAAUAGGGAAAAAACAAAUGUUGCAAGCUCAAGGUUUGAGUUAAAUCCUGGUUAAUUUACCUGGGAAAUUCCCUUCCAUUUGGUUUAGAAACAACAAAAUGGCCAGUGUGCAUUUUGGUAUCUAUAAACAAUUAGACUGAAUGAACUUACCUUUACUAUUCCUUUUGUUUUCCGUCUAUGUAACAUAUAUAAUGCUUAACCUACCAUGUGGGUUAAGGUUCCUUUUUUUUCCUCUUCACAAAACCACGCACCUUAAAUACCAUUCCCUACAUGAAGUAGUUCAGAUGGCAACGCCUGAGCUUUAUACUGUAUAAGAGCCUACAGAUUGCUUAAUUCGGUGCCAGCACUCUCCUGAAUUCCUGGUCACCUUAUUGGGUCCUGCUCUUUGUAGUCUUAUCCUAGGCAUGGUGUUUUAAAGUGUUUUUGUCCAAUACCAUAUGCCUAUGUUUGGCAGCCACUCGUUUAUGAUGAAGGAGAAAGGGAACCCAUGUAAUACAUGUGCAGUAUAUAGCAAUUUAGUGUGCGAGAAGCAGAAGUGCAUGCAAGUGUUUAGAUGUAUUAUCCAAGCAUGUGUAUAGGUGCAUGCAAUUGUCUAGGUCUCUUGUCCCGAUAAUAUGCAAGAAGACAAGUGUCUUUGAGGUGUCAUGCACUAAAGCUUGGCUAAUGUUAGGUAAGACCUAUCCAUCUACAUGUCCAAAUAACCAAGCUUCCUAACACCUUUAGAAGGAGGCAUCAUGUUUGGAACAAGCAAGCUCUUUUGAAUAAGUAUCCCCAAGUACACAUAUGUUAUAGUUUUAUCCGAUGCUUUCCUCUUUGUUAACCUUAUACAUACCACCACCUUUCAUGUCCCUAUACAAAUUACAUGUAUCACAAGAAUAGACCCUUGUGCAUAACAGCCUCCUUGUUUUGUUUAGAGCAACUCAACUGGGUUGCACAGCAGUGAUGCGCAUAAAGCAAACAAAGAAGAGGAACAUAAAAAGGAGAUUGUAUGAUAACAUGGAGUUUUAUUUCAACAAAGCUUGUUUGGCGCAUAAGAGAAUGCCUCCUUGUAUAGGUAUUAUGAGUCUUGCUUAAUUUGGGCACAUAGGUGAACACAUGCUAGCUAAACAUGAGUAUAAGUGUUUGUACACAGCCCCUCAAAGACACUUGUGUUCUUGCUCAUUAUCAAGACACUACUUAAAGACACCAAGACCUUUGCAUGCACCCAUUCUUAUUCUGGCACGCAAUUACAAUAUAUCUCCCAUUGCAUUCUCUGAUAUGAAGUGGCUCAGUUGGCCAUGUCCGAGUUUUAACUUUAUCAGCUUCUGUGGCAAGUGUCUAAGCUUAACUCAGUAGUAGCACAACAAUGAUCAUCUCAUUGUUCCAGCAUUUUGCAAUCUUAACCUAGGUGUGAUUGUUUAAAUUGUUUAGCUGUGUUGCCAUUGUCUCAAGAAGUGUACAUAAACAUCAGUAAAGGGUAAUAUCCUGCUUAUUCUUUGCCUAUGUGCAUUUGGAUGCAGGGGUGAAUACCAGACUUUGUUGAUUGUCUGUUCUCUGCCAAUGACUUUUUUUCCUCGAUAUUUUUUCAUGUUUUCCUUUUAACCUACCAAAUAUAGAAAUCGAUCCUUUCCCUCCCUUCACUAUUGAAUUUUACUUAUAAUUUGAGAAGUCCGUGAUCUUAACAGAAAUUAUGUGCCUUUACAGUUUAUGGAUGAAAUUGGAGAGAGGCAACAUGUGUGGCAGACAUCAUGGGCUAUCAGCACCUGCUUUGUUGGUGGUAUAAUUAUGACCCAUGGUGAGGAUUCAGGUCUAAUGCUACCACCAAAACUUGCACCAAUAAAGGUACUUGUGUAUCUCUAUUAUUGAUUUCUUAAGUUAAGCAUACAUGUGUUUCUUAUUAUCAUUGUUGUUUUACAUGCAUUUAGAUCAAAGGUACUUUGGUACUUGUCAGGAAUCAUUCAAUUUUAUGUACUUGAUCUAAGAAUAGAGAUGUUUCAUUCUGUUAAGGAAGCUUGUUGUUGCUCUCUUUUGUGGUUGUAAUAUAGCAGCACAUACUUUGGUACUUUGUUGUUGCUGUGUUCAGGUACUUGGACAAGCAAUCUUUUGUCUAUUGGAGAAAAAUAUCUCAUCAGGACAGUCUAUGCAUAAGCAUUUGGUUUCAGUCUUCUGAUAGGUGCCUGUAUGAAAGUAAAGUUUAGGUUUUUGAGUUGCCAUUUUCACGUUUAGUAGAUAACAAACAACUUGUUUUAUGAGUUAUACUACCAUUUCAAUUUGUUCAUCCUAUCUGUGUUGCAUUCUUCCAGGUGGUGAUUGUGCCAAUCUGCAGAAAGGAGGAUGAAAAAACUGGAGUUCUCAAUACAGCAUCUUCUGUAAAAGAAAACUUGCAAUCUGCUGGUAUCAAAGUUAAACUUGAUGACAUGGAUCAGGGAACCCCGGGAUGGAAGUUCAAUUUCUGGGAGAUGAAGGUCUGUUCUUAUUCUUAUUUUAAGUACAUGAACAAAAGAAAAGAUUAAUAAUUAAUUAAUGAUUUAGCCCUGUAAUUAAUUAUGACUUUCAUGAAAGGUGUCCGGAUGUGUCUCGGUCAUUAAACAUUAUGGUAAUCUGUCAAAAAGAAUCUGAAUUGUACAUUUCUUCUUGUGCCUGAUGUCAAUUUUGGAUGCUUAUGUCAUUGUGUGACUUAUGCAAUGUGUUGGACUUGCUACACCUGGUCCUCACUUUUAUUUUAUUUUAAAAAAUAGUUUCAAUUAGUCCCAACUGCACUUUUGAUUAUUUUUUGUUUCAAUUUUUUUUUUUUGGUGAUUUUGGAUCAUUUUGAUGUGCUGUCAAAAAUAAAUAAAAAAUAUUAUUUUGAUGCACUUCCAAGUGAAAAGCACUUUGAAAAACAACUUCUAUCACAGACCCUUAUCCUUGUUCAUAAAAAGAAAGCCUUUGAAACGUGUGGAACAGCCCUUAUUUUGUCAAGCAAAUAUUAAAUAAUACUUUGGUUUUAAGAGGGGGUACCUCUUGAGGAUUGAAAUUAGUCCCUGGGAUGUUUCAAGUGGAAGUGUGGUCAUGGUCAAACCUAGGAGAGAUGUUCCUGGAAAGCAAGGAAAAGUGUUGGAAUAUCCAUGGAGCCUUCAAUUUUAGAAGCUUCCGCCAAGGACAAGGUGGAUGAGAUCCAGUCAUCUCUUCUGGGUAGGGCAACAUCAUUUCGAGAUAGGUGCAUGCUCUUGCUCAAACAUUAUGUGUAGUGGAAGCUUAGUUAUGUGCAUCAAUUAUUGGAUAUGCGAGCUCUACUUUUCAUCGAGUUCAUCUAUUAUUAUUUUUCAUAUAUCCACACCACUGCUGCUCACUUCCUUUUCUUUGUGGACUUUGCUUUGAUGUCAAGGCAGUAAUAGCACCUAUAGGCUUCUUUAGGAGAAAAACAGGUUGUGGCCUAAUAAUGCAAAUAAUAAGCUGACUUUUUCAAAAACGUGAGGCAUAAUCAUCAUAGUAGACCAUCCUACCAGAAUGAAAAGGAAGGCCAGCAUGAUUCACAGGAAACAAUAAAUUGCUUUUUUACUAGCAAGGAUGUAAGAAUUGUUUUCGUAAGACCACAGGUUUUCUAUUUCAUAUAACAUUAACUUUGUCACAUGAUGGAAACUGCCAAAGCAAUGAAACUGGGAGUUUAUGCUUCAUCUUAAUAGCCUCAGGCACUUUGACUAAAUCUCUAGAUUUAGAUAUAUAGUUACUUUAUCAUUGUGCAUGCAUGGCAUUAUUGUUCUGGAAGCAUGAUUGCAAUUAGGCUAUUUUUACUUGUGUAGUUGUGUACCGAUUCCAACAAUCACAGCCAUCUGUAAUGAAGUCCAUCAGAUUCCUGUAUUCGUAAAAAACAUCUAAUAUUAUUCUGAUGUUUUCUUGCAGUAACAUUGUGGAUGUGGGCUCAUAUGAUGAAGUCAAAGCGGCAAUAUCCCUGGGUAAAUGGGCAAGGAGUCCUUGGUCAGCUAGGUAGUUUAUUUUGUUCUUCUUCAUGUUAGUAGUGGAUAAACAAUUACAGUGUUGAGAUCAAAGUAGGAGGGACUCACAGCAUGUCUAAUACUAUGCUGUGUUUGUUGACUGUAGUGAUGCGGAUGAACAGGGAGUAGAAGAAGAAACAGGGGCAACCAUUUGGUGUUUCCCCUUAAAACAGCCUCAAGGGACUAAAACAUGCUUGAUGACUGGCGGCAAGCCAGCAGAAGAAGUUGUGAUUUUCGCUCAUAUCGAGUCCUGUCCCCCAUCAGACAUUCAAAUGGUCUCAUUUGGGAGAGGGCGUUUACCCAUGGUAAAGUUUGUCAUGGAUUCCAGUUCUUCCUUGUUUUAGUAAUUUUUAUCAAGAGGGUGACCAAACCAAUGCAUCAUAUUAUUUUACCAUGGAAGAUAACGGAGAAAGAGGAAAGAUACUGUUUUAGGUGGUAUAGACAGAUUUCCCAAACAACCAUUAGAUGCGGGUUUCUUGCGUGAAGUGUUUCCAUCUCAAUCAGAGAUAGAGUAAGUUGAAGAUGGACUUAAAAUAUCAUUUUUGCAAUCCCUUGCAACCAUCAAUCCCACCUUAUUAAAUUUCUUUGGAAAUGUCAACUUGCUCUGUAACAUGUGAAGUGCCAAUCCAGGUCGUGACUGACACACAUGGAUCGGGUGGUUACAUGCUACAUGUGUGCAGGUUGGACCUCUUGUGCAGAUAAUGCACAUGAGGUGUAGACAUGUCAGCUGGAUCAAUCAUGAUUCCAUUAUCUUGGUUAGAGUUCUUAGCACUCUAUCACUUGUUGAUAGCACUCUCCUUUGUGGAGAGAGUCAAAAGUUUGAGAACAGAGUGCCUAGAUCGGAAUAGUUGGUGUCCAUCGGAAAACGGGCAAAAUGAAGGGAUAAACCUGAGAGAAGAUGCUACAAUAGGACACAAGCCCAACCAGUUUAGUUUAUUCAGAAUGCGAAGAAGGGUCAAAUAUGAGUGCAGAGUAGUAGGUGAGAUCAGCUAACUCUCUAACCACCCUUCUUCACAAGUGGAGUGUUGAUAUCUCCACCACAAUAUUUUGGACUUAACCUGAUUGCAUCUUCUGUAAUUUGCUGGUGGAUGUUUUCCUUGCUGUCCUUGUCUGGAAAAUGUUGCAGUUAGGAUGUGACUGUGCUAAAGCAUUCCUUUUUUACAACAUUUUAGAUCGGAAAACACUUCGCACACAAACAAAAUUACACACUAAAUUCUCGUGCAAACCAAUUUGUCAUGUAAUAAAUGAUAAAAAGUGCUGGUCCCGAAAGUAUCAAACGAUUAGUUAAAAAUAACAAGUAGCAACAUGGAAAUUUCGCAAGAUUUGUUUGUUUGCAUGCAUAGCAUUGCUCCUAGUUUAAUCGGGUAUCCUGGGCCCAAAUGUUACAAGACGUCUAUCAGAAGAUUUUCUAGAGAAAUGGUGUUUGUUAGCUAAGAAAAAUACCAGAGAAGAUAACCGCCUGGGUUGAGUUUUUUCCAUCGCCAUCCUUAGACCUGCUUUCAAAGCUUUGGAAUGGUAGGAAGGAAGAGAGGAGACAACUUGAGGAAAUUUUAGCAGCCCAAGGAGGGUACGAAAGUCAUGGAGAUUUGAUAUCGUGAUAACAGUCGGUGUUUGUAUUUUUUAAAAUAUAUUUUAAUAAUACUAAAAAAAAUUAAAUUAAAUUAAAGAAAAUAAAUAAAUUGUUUAAAAGCGACACAAAAACAAACAGUAACGGUGUUGUACGGUGAGAAUGCUAAAAGGGGCAGCUGCUAUGUGCGGAUGAUAGGGUAGGAUUCAGAGAGUUCCCGAAGAAGCUUGAUGGGAGCAUCUGGGUCGUCCAUGACUGGGGAAAACUGGCACUCAAGUGGGUCCUUUUGAUGACGUGGAAGGAUCAGGUGCGAUUCAAUUUUUUGGAAAGGAAUCUUGACUUUUUCAAUUGUGGUGGGGUUCCUGGCGUGGAAUAAAAGUUAACGCGCUUCCGUGUGGGUCCCUUUUUGAAAAUAAGAUAUUAAAUAACAAAUAUAAAAUAUAUAAAAAAAGGAAAGUAUCAAAUUAUUGAAGAAGGCAAAUUGCAAGGUGGUGAGUGACGCAAAGAACUUUCUUUUUCUUUCUUUCCUCCUUUAUCCCACCCCUCUUCUUCCCCCUUCUAUUCAUCACUUCUUCUUUGGGCAAAUUCGAUAAUACAACAACGUUAUUGUUUAAUUAAAAUAAUAUUCUUUUAAUUUUUUAAAAAUAAUAUUAUUAGUUUGCAGGUUAAUUUAUCAUGACAUCAUGUUAAAAUAGAUUAAUUUCAAGUUAAUUUUUAAAAAAACAACCUAAACCAGGAUCAAAUCGAUUAGAUUUUAAAUUAAUUGAUAAGCCAAUACUAUAUAUCAUCAUGAGAUAUAUUUUUGAUAAAAUAUAAAUAUGUAUGUGAAUUAAUAUAAUUAUAAAUAAUACACUUGUUGCUGAGUGGAAAUCCUCUUGGCUUACAUUUAUUAUUUAACAAAUAAAUUAAUAAUUUAUUUUGAAAAAAUAAAUUCUCUUACAGAUAAAAAAAAUAUAAAAAUAAAAAUAAUUAAUGCUACCCACACGUGCCGGGUACAAGGAGUUUCGACUAUCUUGGAUUGAGAAAAGAAUAUAAUUCCCGAAAAUAAUGAAAUGUUCAUUUACACAUUAAUAUAAAGAAUUAAUUGAUAUAUUGUCUGUCGCAUUAAUAAACAUUAUCGUAUGGCGCGGUUGUCUGAUCUUGAUGCUCUUGUGCUAUUCUUGUUUCAGUGCCCUAAUUAUAAUUUAGCACAGCUAAAUAUAGUUUAUUAGCAAUUAUUUUGCAUGAGAUUUAAAGGGUAUAUAAGAAUAUAGUUGCGAUUGUUUUUUAAAAUAUUUUUUAUUUGAAAAUACAUCAAAAUAAUAUUAUUUUAUUUUUUAAAAAUUAAUUUUAAUAUCAACGCAUCAAAAUAAUAUAAAAAUACUAAAAAUUAUUAAUUUUAAAUAAAAAAUUAAAAAAACAUGGUUUGCACCGCGUUAUCAAAUGCUUCCAAUUACAUCACACUCAUUGCAACCUCUAGUGUUUUCUUAAAAAUAAAGCGCUGACUAUUCAAAGCGAGAUAAAUGAUUUAUUUAAAAAAAUAUAUGGUGUUUAAUAAUACCUGUUAGUUAUAAUUUUGUCAUGUGUUUAAUGAAUAGUUAUUUGUUAUAAUUUAUUUUAAUGACAGAUAGGUAUGAAAAAAAAUAUUUUAAGUGAAAAUAUUUUAUCAUUUUGGAUUUUAUUUUAUUUUAUUUAUUUAUUUUUUUUCAGUAGAAUGCCAUUAAUUACUUAUAUAUACCAUAAAAAUGUUCCAUGCCAUCAACCACACCAGCUACUCCAGAAAAUUCAAUUUCUCGUUUUUUUUUUUCUCAACUCCCAAUCCACGUAAACUAGUUGAAAGAGAGUAAAAAAAAAUCAUAGCCUGCUACCAUGACCUCCAGAGCCGCCAUCUUCACUCGAAAUAUAAAAAAAGAAAAAAAAUCACAAAAUUUUACAGUGAAUUUCACCUGGGCUUUUGCAAUAACUAAUGCCUUUUCACAUCAACUCAUAUGAUAUCCAUUCUAUUGUGUCUUGCGAGAUAAAAGAUGGAGACCGUGAAGAAAUAGCUAUGUUAUAAAGAUGUAAAAAUAAAUUUGAUUUCGGGAUAAUUUUAUAGUAAGCAUUUAUAUUUUUAAAAUAUGAGGUAUAAAAAGGACAUGUUUUUAAAGAUAAUAUUUAUUAAUUUUUAAAAAUAACUUUGUAAAAAACUCUUAAUUUUUAAACUAUCUAAAACAUAUAAGAAUAAAAAUAAUAAUUAUUAUAAUUUUGUAAUCCAACUUGAGGGUUGAUAUGAGACAAAACCCAGGUCAGUGGUUGAGGCUCAGGUCACAUAUCAAAUUUAUCCGAGUUAAUAUAAAAAUAAAAAUAAUUAUUAUCAUAAUUUUAAAAUUCGAUUCGAUAAUCGAUCUAGAACAAGGCUUGAAUCAUGGAUGAGGUUGACCAUUGGCCUAUGUCCACAUAAGGACACAAUAAUUAUCAUCGUAAUUUUUAAAAACCUGACUUAUGGUAAGGCUUUAAUUACAUGUUAAGAGAGUUAACUUAAAAUAAAAGUAGCUGUUAUUAUAGUUUUAAAACUUGAUUUAGGGGCUAACUUUAAAACCUGACUUGAGGAUUGACCAGGGUAAGGCCAACGUCAUGAAUUGAGAGAUCAACACGGAUUAACCCGAGCCAACGUAUGAAUAAAAAUGAUUAUAAUCAUAGUUUUUAAAUCUAAUCGGAAGUUGAAUUGAGACAAGGUUCAUGUCAUGGACUAGAAGGGCCAACCUAGUUAAUCUAGAUUAAAGAAAAAAAAACCAACCUUGUUUUGACAAUUUUUUUUAAAGUCAACUGGGUUUUAACCUGUAUUUUAUCAUGGAUUGAUUUAGGUUUUUUAUUGAGUUAGGUCGAGUUAAUGCUUCUUCUAUUUUUCUUAAACCCGGACCAAUACAAGUCCUAAGUCAACCAAUCAUUUCAGUUUUAGUUUUUUAACCAAUAUUAUUACUUUCAACACUUAAUAUAAACUAAAGUAAAAAAUAUAUAUUUUUAAUUAUUUUUUUAAAAAUAUAUAAAUAAGUUUGACAACAAUACAUAUAAAAAAUAAAAUAAUUUUUUUUUCAGGUCCUACCAAAACAGUAUACAUAAACAAUAAUUUUGUCUUAUAAAUCUAUAUUAAAUAAAAUUUUAUAUCUAUCUUUUUUAUAUUGUUUCCCGGUCUCUAUUUUUUUCUCUCAAAAGCUACGAGGUUGCAGAGACUAAUUUUGUUAGAGUUAAAAGAGGAAGGGAUGAAGCAAAAUACGUGCCCUAAAUCUCGACUAUUAUGUCUUUAUCUUAUCAUGAAUUGCUUUUUAGUUACAUUAGGAUAAAAAUUCUUUUUGCUUUCUCUUUGUCCUUUACUGGUAUUUAAUUUGGGUGUUCACAUUUUUUCUCGAAGAAGACUUGAAGUGAUUAUGAUUUGAAUGAUUUUUUUUUCCUACCAAACAAAUUCCUCUCCAAUAAUGUAAUUGUGUCUCAAUUUUUUUUCCCUCAAUUUAUUUUAUAAUUUUGGAAGACUAUAUGAAUCAUUCGAUAAUAACUAAUAGGCUCAUGAUAUAGAUCAUACAAAAUACUUUCAGAAAUCUCAAAAACUUUCUUUGAAAUUGAGAAUUGAAUUUAAUAUUAUAGUAUAGGGUGCUUUUUAAUUAAAAAUAUAUUAAAACAAUUUUUUUUUAUUUUUUUGUUUUUAACAUCAAUAUAUCAAAAUUAUCAAAAUAAAACUUAAAAAAAAUAUAAAUUUAAAGUAUUUCAAAUGAAAUUUUUUUAAAAAAAUAUUUUAAAAAGCAGGAAUAAAAAAGAUACAAAACAAGAGCAUGAUAUUAAACUUUUAAAUGUUGAAAAAUCAUUCCAUACAUCAAAGAUAAUGCUUGGCCUUGUCGUAUUUAUGCAUGAUCAACUACUCCUAAUUAAUUAUGUUUUGCCGUAUUACAAAGGAAACAUUAUAGCCUACCAUUUAUUAAAAAAAAUAAAAAAUUCUCUAACCUAAUCAUCAUAUUUCAUGGAAAGCUUCCCACGGGUCAUGCGGAUCCAUGCCCACGCCCUUUAAUUCAGGGAUGAGAAUGUCUCAAGUUAGGUUAAGUUUUUGUCUA
RNAcentral lists this long non-coding RNA (55804 nucleotides) under Populus tremula. Its description in RNAcentral is "long non-coding RNA (PTRE_LNC002157)". The record is from RNAcentral. Lineage: Eukaryota; Viridiplantae; Streptophyta; Magnoliopsida; Malpighiales; Salicaceae.